AUUUUUUUUUUGUUGAUUUAUAUCAUUCAUUUACUAAAAAUCAAAAGUAAUAAGUACUAAUAUAAAGAAAAUCUUGGAUACUUUAAAAUAAAGAUAAGAAAGAUAUUUGUUUAAUUAAAACCUUUUCAUCUCAAUUAAUAGUGUGGAUCAACUUAAAAUUCCUCCACCCGACUUUUUAUUUGGUAUGAGUUUUGGUUAGGUUAAUCAAAUCAUGGUUGAGUCAUCUAAAAAUUAUAGACGUUAUUAUUUUAUUUAAAAGAAAAAUAAAAUAACAUUGAUUUAAUGUUUUCUUUGUAAAAAAAAUACUAAAAUAAUAAAAUUGUAAAUAAAUUCAAGUUAAACCGAGUUAACUCAUUCAACAUAUGAUCUAGGUCAUAGCCCAUAUCAAGUUUAAUAACCUUAUCUUUACUUAUUUAUUUUUUAUUUAAUUGAAUGAUUAACGAUCUAAAAAGUAAAAAUGAGUAUCUUAAUCAAAAUUUAAAUAAAAAUAAUUAACACAAACUAAAAAAGAAAAAAAGAAAGAGGGUUUGAAUAAAAAUGGAAAGAAAAAAAAAAGAAAGAGGGUUUUAAUAAAAAUGGAAAGAAAAAAAAAAGAGGCUAACCCGUAGCUUGCCAAACCCAAGCAUUUAGAAGAAAAAAAAAAACCCAAGCUCGGUGUGCUUGUGUGUUUUUUUUUUUACUAUGUAGGGUUGGCAUGUUAUCUGCUACAGUAAGUGACAUAUCAUUCAAGAACUCAGAUUCCGACCAUCACAAUAGUGGAUGGAAAAUUAGGGUUUAACUUUUUAGACCUUAAAAACCUGUUUUUUCAAUCAUUUUCUCACCUAAAAAAACUCUAAAGCCCUUUGACACCCAUUUGUGGUACAAAAGUUGGAAAACAGGGUUCUAAAAUGACAAAUCAGGUCAAUUUUAAAAUUAUUUUAAGACCCGGUCUACUUUUUAGGCAAGAUGAAGGCCAAAGAAUGCAUCAAUAGAACUCUUCUAGUCAAAAGAAACCCGUUGACUUCAAGAAUGAUCUUUUCCAUAACCAAAAUCAUUAUCAUUUGAUAACUUUAUUUUUUUUCUUGUUGCUUUUUAAUGACUUUCUCUCUUCUUUCUAAAACCAAAGCCAAAAUGAAAAGAAAAUAAAAUUUUAAAAGAAAACAUUUGAUCCCCAGACUAAAAGACACCGUUUGGGAAAGCAGUGCAAACCGCGUUCCUAAAAAAAUCAUUUUUGUUUUGCUAAAAUUUAAUAUGUUUUAUAUGUUUUGGAUCGUUUUAAUGUGUUGAUGUCAAAAAUAAUUUUUAAAAAAUAAAAAAACAUUAUUGACAUGUAUUUCGGUACUAAAAGUUAUUUGAAAAGCAACCGCAACCACACUACCAAAUAAGAGACAAGAAAGGAACUUUGCCAAAACUCAUAGGCAAAAUUGAGCAAAAAAGCGUAGUGACUAAUUUGUUUUUAGAAUAGGGCUGUCUUUUUCAUUGACAUUCAAAUUUAAUCCUUUAAUUUUUAAUAUCAUGUAAAUAAUAAAAAUAAAUAGAUUCUUGUAAAAUUAAAAACCAAUCUAACAAUGGGAUGUUUAGUUAAGAUUAUAGUAGUUUUAUGGAAAUCAAAAAAUAACAAUUACAAAAAUUAAUUUCAAAUUAACACAAUGUAAAAUGACUAAAUAAAAAAAUUGAAGGACCAAAAAUAAAUCACAGCACUAAUUCAUAAACAGUAAUUUCUGAGGGAAUCCAUGAAUUUAGCAAAACUUCUAGUGUUUUUUUUUUAAUGUAAUGUAAUUGUUAUUAUUUCGUAAUGUAAUGGGUGCCCAAGACUCCUUGAUGUUACAUGGAGUUUCAUGGCAAUACAUGGGCCUCAAAUUCAUCGUAAGAAAAUGUUGAUGGCCAUGACAAGGUUCAAGUAUAAUAAACACUUGAUCAUACGUAGACAAGUGAGAAUGGUACACGUUCACGACAUGACAGCAAACUAGUCCUCCGAGGGCCCCCAAGUUCCACCUAAUUCAAGGCUUCUAGUAGGGAUAAUGCCUUCUUCUAGUAGGGAAAUACCAACUUUUUAUCUAUCUAUAGAUAUUUCCACAUAUUCUUCCAAUACAAAUCCUCUAUGCCUUUUAUAACUCCCUUCAAGGUUUUCAUGGAGAAAAAGAAACCUAAAGGUGGUGACAGCACUGGUGAUUUAACCCUAGUAAAGGCGGCUGCAUGGGCAUGGUACCAACAUGGAUCAGGGUCAGAAGGAAAGCCUAUGUGUGAAUCUUAUGUUACAAGUACUCGUCAAGCUCCAAGACCGUCAAGAUACAAGCUAGAAGAUAUGAGGUUGAGAGUGAAGGAAGAUACCAUGGAUGGCUCAGGAGCACCUAGUCCAAUCGGUGCAGAUAAUUCUCUACUUGAUAACUAUGAGGUAGAGAGCAUUUCAAAGCACCUUGACUAUCUUAUGGAGUCAAGCAGCAAGAGAUCUUAUGGCGUCGAGAUCUUUGAUAGAGAUGAUCAUCUUCAUCGCGGAAAAAGUAUUUCAUUAUUGCAUGGUGAUCAAACUUGUGGAAUGAAGCAGAAGAAGAACAAGUCGAAAUUUUUCUUACAAGGUUGGUGGCUAAGACAUUCGGUUGUUUGUGGCACAAGGGAAGAUGUGGUGAACAUACAAGAGCUUUAGCGCGCUGCGGCAGCAGCCGGAAAGGCAUAUUCCGGUAGUUGGGUUGUUGCCAGUCGAGCCACAAGAACUGCCAAUGGUGGGUGAAUGUACAGCAGCUUCUUAAAUUGUUACCUACACUAACUUUUAUCUCUUCUAUGACUUUUUUCCCUUCUUUUCUUUUUUUCAAUGGAAACACUUAAAUAUUACACUACGAAACAUAGAUAACUUUCCCUUUCUAUCAUCUCAAAGUAGGAAAGAUUUGAUCUCGUAUAAGCAUAUAAAAAUUACACAUGUUUAAUAUUUUGAUUUUUAAUUAGUUAUUUUUUUCUUUUUUUAACUCAAUUAAAAUAGGUGAGUUUAAUAAUUAAAUUCAUUUACACUAAUUUACUAUCAUAUAUAUAUAUAUAUAUAUAUAUAUAUAUAUGUUAUAUAUAUAUAUAUAUAUAUAUGUUACAAGUUUGUGUUAUAAGAUCUUAUGAAGGUGCCUCGAAGGAAAGGACAAAAACAGUAGUUGGAGAGAUCAAUUAUAAGAUUUGAUUUCGACUAGGUACUUGAUGAUGAACUUGUACAAACAUCAAUCAGCAUCACUGUUCUUCUUCUGAUGCCACAAUUAGACAAAACAAAACCACUAGCACCGACUGGUCCUGUGUUGAAUUGCUCUUUGAUGCUGCUUGUUUAGGACGAAGUAUGGUUCAAGCUAAGCUGCAUUAUUGGGUGAGGAAAUUAAGAUAAGAUAGGAUAAAACAAGGUGAAAUCGUAGUUAUUAAUCAAUAAUAUAUUUUAAAAAAAUUAAUCCCCAAAUGGACAUGAUAACUAUGGUAAAAACCACGGUAGACUGAAAACAUUUCUCCUGAAUUAACCUAAUGGUCAAGGAGUUGAUUCGAAGAAAUUCCUCCUCUCAAUUCUAAAAAUGAAGAAUGGUUGGACAACAAUUUGAGAGGCUUCUCAUGCUUGAUGACAUCCUGUCCACACCUACCAAAAGUGACCCCAUGUCGGUCACAUGUGAUUCUAUAUGUGCGUGUGAGUUCUAUUUUCACUACGUAGGUAAAUUUGGUCAUAAAAUUAUUGUUUUUUAAGAAUAAAAUGGAAAAUUGCAAGACUGCUCUAAAAUUACAAAGAAAAAGAAAAUAAUGACAGUGUCGUUCCCUGUGAGAAAGGCAUUGUGCAAUUGGGGCAUUUUGCUCCAGAAACGAGAGCAGGAAAAAAAGGGGUAAUGUUCAUCAAAUUUCACUUCAACUCUUAUCUUAACUUUUAAUCUAUCAAAAAAGAAAAAGAAAAUUAAUUAUCUCUAAUUUAACUCAAGAUUUCAAUAGCUUCUGACUAUUACAACAUCUAAUGGAGGAUCUCCUUGUGAAUUUAUUUUAAUUAAGAACUUCUUUUUGAAAUCUUAUUACCAUAUGAAUUUUGUAAAGAAAAUAAGGGAGGAGAAGAGGAUGGAGUGAAACAAAAGAAUGGAAAGGCGCCCCUUUUGUUUGUGUUUUUAAUUUGAUCCUUAUUGGAUUUUUUCGGUUUAGCUUUCAACUCGUCUAUGAUUAUCAAAUGAAUGCAGCAACAAACCAAGAAACAAAUGAAAUGGCUACUUUCAAACUCCCUAAAACCCACCUCUCUCCUCCAAAAACCCUCUGCGCCUUCUCCACUUGGUACUCACCACCCCCACAACCCCCACCAAGACAGUCGCCGCCGCCUUCACGCCAUGAAUCUCCAAUUCUCACAACGAUCUCUGAAGCAAUAAAAAACAUUGAAACAAAACCACUUCACAUUUCUCUCAAAAACAUCCUACCUUCAUUCAAAGCCCAUCACUUUAUUAGCCUCGUUAACCAAAAUCCUUACUUUCUACCUCCAAAAUCCCUCCUUUCUUUCUUUGACUUUCUAUCUUCAUACCCUACGUUUAGCCACACAGUUCAGUCUUAUUGCAGUAUGGUUCAUUUCCUCAUUGCACAUCGAAUGAACCAACAAGCUGAGUCUUUGCUUCAUUUUGUUGUUUCACGUAAAGGGAAAGGAUCAGCUUCUUCAGUUUUUGCUUCAAUUCUUGAAACUAAAGGUACCCUUUCGUCAAGUUUUGUUUUUGAUGCUUUAAUGAGUGUGUAUACUGAAUUUGGUUACGUGUCUGAUGCUAUUCAGUGUUUUAGAUUGACAAAGAAGCAUAAUUUGAAAAUCCCGUUUAAUGGUUGCAAGUGUUUGCUUGAAAGAAUGAUUAAAAUGAGCUCUCCUAUGGUAGCUUUGGAGUUUUAUCUGGAGAUCUUGGAUUCUGGGUAUCCACCAAAUGUGUAUACUUUUAAUGUUUUAAUGAAUAGAUUGUGUAAAGAAGGUAAAGUUAAGGAUGCUCAAUUGAUUUUUGAUGAAAUUCGGAAGACAGGUCUGCAGCCCACUGCUGUUAGUUUUAAUACUUUGAUUAAUGGUUAUUGUAAAUCAGGAAAUUUAGAGGAGGGUUUUAGGUUGAAGAUGGUAAUGGAGGAGUUUAGGGUUUUCCCUGAUGUUUUUACUUAUAGUGCUUUGAUUGAUGGGUUGUGUAAGGAGUGUCAGUUGGAUGAUGCGAAUCAUUUGUUUAAGGAAAUGUGUGAUAGAGGGCUGGUUCCUAAUGAUGUUACUUUUACCACAUUGAUUAAUGGGCAGUGCAAGAAUGGGAGAGUUGAUUUGGCCUUGGAAAUUUAUCAGCAAAUGUUUACUAAAGGUUUGAAAGCUGAUUUGGUCUUGUACAAUACACUCAUCGAUGGCCUUUGUAAGGGUGGAUAUUUUAGGGAAGCAAGGAAGUUUGUUGGCGAGAUGACUAAGAGAGGUUUGAUACCUGAUAAAUUUACGUACACUACACUUCUAGAUGGUAGUUGCAAGGAAGGAGAUUUAGAAUUGGCUUUGGAGAUGAGGAAGGAAAUGGUAAAAGAAGGUAUUCAGCUGGAUAAUGUAGCCUUCACAGCCAUUAUUUCUGGAUUGUGUAGAGAUGGAAAGAUUGUAGAUGCAGAGAGAACAUUGAGGGAGAUGUUGAGAGCGGGUUUGAAACCAGAUGAUGGUACAUAUACCAUGGUCAUGGAUGGGUUCUGUAAGAAGGGUGAUGUGAAGAUGGGAUUUAAGUUGCUCAAAGAGAUGCAGAGCGAUGGACAUAUACCAGGAGUGAUCACUUACAAUGUGCUUAUGAAUGGACUCUGCAAGCAAGGCCAGGUGAAAAAUGCUGAUAUGCUUUUGAAUGCAAUGCUCAAUGUGGGUGUAGUUCCAGAUGACAUUACUUACAACAUUUUAUUACAAGGGCAUUGCAAACAUGGGAAACUAGGAGACUUCCAAAAUGUCAAGACUGAAAUGGGGCUUGUUUCUGACUAUGCAUCUUAUAGAUCACUACUGAAUGAGUUGAGCAAAGCUUCUAAAGAUCGUCAAAAGAGAUGAUUUCUGACGGUUGCAUAUUUCAUGUACAGACCUUUGAUAGUUGACAAACUUAGAUUUGAUCUCUCAGUUGAUCAGAGCGAAGGUAAGAUCUUUUAGCAAACUGGCUAAUUGAUUUACUUGACUUUAGAUUUCUGGACGCAAAACACAGAGUUUAUAGCACUUGUAACCUACUGUCAUAUGUCAAGGAUUGAACUGUAUAAAUACAUACCUUGUAACAAGUAGAACGAUUCUUUUAUCCAAAAAUAAAAUAAAUAAUUAGAAAAACAAGAUCUUUAAAGUUUUCUUGUCAGCAAGAGUAGCAUAGCUUUUAAUGGGGGUAUCUGCCAUGUACUGUUUGUUCACUUCUUUCUGUCCUCCCUUGCUCUGUCUUUAAUUUCAAUUUAUGACCAUUUUUUAAUGAAGGGAAUGCAAUGUCUAGUGGAUUAUGCUAUAUACUGCAUCAAUUCUUCACCAUACCAUAACCAUCUUUUGAGACCGUAGUUCUUGUUGCAGUUACUGCAUGCUAUAAACUUUUAAUAAGCUUAUCCUUGACUCUACUAACCCAACUCAUCUGGUUUAAGUCCAUAAAUAGUAGAGUCAGCUGAUCAUCUUAGUUGCUACAAUUAAUAAAAAAACUUACUGCUGGUCUAUGAGCUGAUCGUUUAAGUUUUGUUGAUUCAUUUAUUUAUUGUGUCAUGCCUCUCACAAAGUACUGCUCUUUGUAGCCAUCAUAGUUUCAUCUACUCUUACUUGAAACAUCUCUUAAACAUUGUUUUUGCAAAUGCAACAAUUACUUGCUACUAUAAGAAUGCCAUUUGUUUUCAGGAAACAUUAUCUUUGACGCCAUAUCUUUACUGUUAUCCUAUUGCCAUAUUUGUGUAAUGCGCAGACAUUUCAAAGCAUUAUUGAAGAGCUCAUUCUGUGAGCAUAGGUGUAAACUUGAUCUUGGGCUUAAGUUGGUUUUAUGAAUGAAAUCACUUAUAUGUCCUUGAUCCUUGUGAAGUGUUUGAAAUCCUUAGCUUCAAGAUACUUUUUAAACUUUUUGCUAAAUGUUCUGUAUUUUGCCGGUUGGAUUCACUUAGAUUGUCGCCUGAAGGCAUAUAAUAUGAUUGAACUUCAAAUCUCUACUACACGAACAAAAUUUAGUUUCGAAAUUUUAGUAAUGAUUUAUUGGUGAAUUGUUCUUUAUUUUUUGGUAUAAUAGGAUAAGAAGCUAGACUGGCUCCUCAAGAAACCAACACCACAGAAUCACCAUGUAAUGCUUGCAGAACUCGCAAAUAAGAGAAGACUUUAGGGAGAGAGACUACUAGCUCAUUAAUAUCAGAAUCAGAGGACCUAAAUUUGAAGUUCAGACCAUUCAACAAAGGAAUCAGAACCAGAGGCACCCAACUUUGCCAUGAUGUCACCACAGCUUUUACCCUCUCCAAGAACGAGUAAUUUUGCAGGACCAGGUGCUGUUAAGCAGCUCAUUAAUAUCAGCAACUAGAGCAUUGUAUGGAUGAAAUAAAGAAUUGCCCUCCCUGACCAUAAGAAAGGCUUCCUGAGAGUCAACUUUAAGAAUCAUAUUUCUAAAUCCCAAGCUCCCAAGCAUGAUGUAAAAUUGUAAACCUUGCCGCAUAGCUUGAAGUUCAGUUCAGUUCAGCCACCAAAACCUGAAUAAAUUAUUCAUACAAGAAUAUUUUGUAUCAGAGAAUUAUAUUAUUUUUUUAAUAAUUAGCCCAUAAGUAGAAAAUUUCCAAAAAAAAUUGAAAGGUGACAGUAGAUAUAUACAUGUUGUUUUUCAACUAUAUUCAUAUCAUAUUUCAUAAGUUUUUAACAAUAAAUUUAAAUAUUUAUAUUAUAUUUAUCGGAUAUCUAUUAUUUAAAAAUUAUUUAUUAUUCUAUAUAUAUAAUUUCAUCAUAUGUUUUUUUAUCCUAUUUAUAUGUGCACAACAUUAAUAUUAUAUAUAAUUUUUAUAAUUUAAUCAUGGACUGAUUUGGAUUGGAUUGUAGGUCGGAUAAUAUUUAUAUCGUAGUAAUGAUAUUUAUCGGAUUUGAAAGGAACAGCGUCGUUUCUUGUUAUAGAGCAUGGGUAGGUAGUUUUUGAACAGUGAAAAGCAACCACGAAUCAGUUUCAGUCGACCAAGACAAGGCAAGAAGCCAAAAACGAGAAGAACCAAAGAGACAAGGGAGAAGAGAAUGCAAGAAAUGGGGAAGCAGCAAGCUCUAAUUUUGAUCCAGAAAAUGGUGAAAAUCCCUCCUCUUCAAGCCUUAUCACUCUUCAACUCCUCGAUUCAACAAGGCUUCCAACACACUCACCACUCCAUUUCUUUCCUUCUUCAACACCUUCUUGACCAUCACAAACUACCCCAUGCACAAUCUCUCAUCCUCCAAAUACUUUCCAACAAAAUCUCCUCUCCCUUUUUCACUGUCCCAUCUCUUCUCCACCAUUUAACACAAAACCAAAACCCAUCAAUGACUACUGCUCUUCUCUAUGAAUCAAUCAUCAAUGCCCAUCUUAAAUCUCAAUUACUAGAUAAGGCUCUCAUCUUUUUCAAUGAAAUGGUUGAUAAAGGCCUUGUCUUUCGACCUAACAUUUUUAAUAGUCUCUUGGGUUCUCUUGUGAGAUCAAAUUGUUUUGAGAAAGCUUGGUUGUUUUUUAAUGAAUUGAAAGAGAGGGUUAAGUUUGAUGUCUAUAGUUUUGGAAUAAUGAUCAAGGGUUGUUGUGAAAAUGGUAAUUUGGAUAAAAGUUUUCAACUUUUGGGUCUAUUACAGGACAUGGGUCUUUCUCCUAAUGUUGUCAUAUACACUACUUUGAUUGAUGGUUGUUGUAAGAAUGGUGAUAUUGAAAGAGCUAGGUUGUUUUUUGAUAAGAUGGGAGAGAUGGGUUUGGUUGCUAAUCAGUAUACUUUUACGGUAUUGAUUAAUGGGUUGUUUAAGAAAGGACUUAAGAAAGAUGGUUUUGAUUUGUUUGAGAAGAUGAAGAUUAAUGGGCUGUUUCCCAAUUUGUAUACGUAUAAUUGUUUGAUGAAUGAGUAUUGCGGUGAAGGAAAAAUAUGCAGAGCUUUUGACUUGUUUGAUGAAAUGCGUGAGAGAGGUGUAGAAGCAAAUGUUGUCACGUAUAAUACUUUGAUCGGUGGCAUGUGUAGAGAGGAGAGGGUUUGGGAGGCUGAGAAGUUGGUGGAUCAAAUGAAGAAAGCUGCUGUUAGUCCUAAUUUAAUCACAUAUAACACAUUAAUAGGUGGAUUUUGUGAUGUUGGGAAUUUGGAUAAGGCUUCAAGUUUACUAGAUCAAUUAAAGUCAAAUGGUCUGUCUCCAUCUUUGGUGACCUACAAUAUUCUCAUUGAAGGAUAUUCCAAGGCUGGAAAUUGGAAAGGAGUUGCUGAUUUAGCAAGGGAGAUGGAGGGGAGAGGCAUUUCUCCUUCUAAAGUGACAUGUACAGUUUUAAUUGAUGCUUAUGUUCGAUUGCAAGAAAUGGAGAAAGCAUUUCAAAUUUAUUCCUCUAUGGAGAAGUUUGGUUUGGUUCCUGAUGUCUACGUCUAUGGUGUGCUAAUACAUGGUUUGUGCAUGAAAGGUAACAUGAAAGAAUCAUCAAAACUGUUUAGAUCAAUGGGUGAAAUGCACGUGGAACCAAGUGACGUGAUAUACAAUACAAUGAUCCAUGGUUACUGCAAAGAGGAUAACUCCUAUAGGGCUUUGAGGUUGCUUAGAGAAAUGGAAGCUAAGGGGUUGGUUCCAAAUGUGGCUAGCUACAGUUCUAUCAUCGGAGUUCUAUGCAAGGAUGGGAAGUGGGAAGAAGCUGAGGUUUUAUUAGACAAGAUGAUAGAAUUGCAACUAAAACCGUCAGCUUCCAUCUUAAACAUGAUCUCCAAAGCCAAAAAUUUUACAGAAUUGAAGAUUUAAAGGACUCUUGGCAUGAAGUGGCAAAGCAGAAUUCCAUGAAAGAUGGAGCCUUUGAGAUAAUGGUAAUAUUGGUAAAAGAAUCCGCAAAGAUUUGAAACACACACCCACAUUUUGGGACAGACUAACAGAGACUGCAAGACACUCAGUGUGGGAGAGGGCACUGAAAACGAUCCAAUCCUGUUGUAUAGAAACUAAUAUCAGCAGUUCCGUAUGAAUGAACCAAGAUUUUUAGCAUGGUAAGGCAUCUAAUAUUUUACUUAUUUGAUCAUUUCAAUUUCACACAGAAAUUUGUUAAAAAAAAAUCACACACAUGUUUUGAGUAUCCUUGUUCUUCAUUGCAACACAUUACUUUUUAUGGAAAUAUAUAGUUAUGUCCAAAGCAUGUACCUUAACAACUAGUUUCAGUAUAAUGUUAGGACAAACAAUAAAAAGAAGAAGAAUAAAUAAACAUACAGUUGUUGCAAGUUCUUGAUCCGAUCCAACUUUGGGGCAAGGAAUCCCCUUAAAAAAAUACCUGGAUACGUUUCUGCAAAAAUAUAACUCCAACAAAAAAAUGGUUAUAACUUGAUUCACUGAUAAAUGCACCUCAUAUGUACCAUGUGCUAGGAUCUAAUUAGAGAAAGACUAGCAUAUAUAAUACGGAGUUUUGAUAGAAAAUUUUGAUGUAUCAUAUCUUACAUCUUUAAUACAUGGUCUCGAGCAAAGGAGCUGGAAAUGCCAGACCAACUGCAAGGAUCUUCAUCUGAGGCAUCCCAACAAAACGAUACCUGGGCCGUCGUACAAAGCUUUCUUUGAAUUUUGUAAGCACCCUAACUUUUCAGAAGUCUAUAAAUUCCAUUUUGUGAAAAGUACAAGACUGCCAAAAGUUUCCAGGUCACUAAAUUUCAUUGAGUACAUUACUUUUAACACUGGAAUUCAGAUCACAUAACUUCCAAUCCUACUCGUGCUAUUUGGUCACCAUGUAACUGUAGGAAGGAUAGCAGAUUGAACCUACUUGGAAUCUUGAAUUUUUUAAAUUGAGUACACAAUAAAUAACACCACUCAAUGUAGCCUAAUGACACUAGUUAGCUCAGCUUAGAACUAUAAUAACAAAGUGAUAAAGCAAAUACCUUCAUCUUUAGCUAAGGAUCAGUCACAGGUCGCAAAAAGAAUUAGAGAAACAACACAAACAAGUUGCAGUGCUGCAUAUGGUUUUUAUUUCCUCUGAUUUUCUUCUCUAUUGUCUCUACCAGCUGCUAUCACGAACUCAAUCCACUAUUUUCUCUUUUGCACAAGAUUCUAUAUACAUUAUGCUUACUUCUUUGUUUUCAUAUCUAUUUGUUACAUAAUCAGGGGUUCACCCUGUCCCUUGUCGUGAUAAUUUUCUCAGAAGUCCUGUCCCUGCAUAUGGUAGGUUGAUGGCUGUGUGUGUUUAUGCAAUUCAUUUAAUGUAAUUACAUGUGCAGAUUUUGCUUGCAGCUCUUAUUAAAUGGAAAUUUGGAACAUCUGGAGACGUGACUUAAAUGUCACAUUGGUAUGCAGGUAUAGUUGUGGCAUGUAUCUGCUUCUUUGUUCCUGCUUUCUCAAUGCCAAGUGAAAUCCGGUCAGCCGAGCAAAGCAUUGCACUCUCGGUUAACAUGUUUUUCGCCUUCUCUAUUGCUCAAUUGUUUCUUCCUGUGCUUUCCCCCAUGAAAUGUGGCUUGUUCAUCUUCUUUGCGAGUUUUGUGGCAAUUAUGACUUCUUUAUUUAUUCCUUUCUUGCCUGAAAGAAAGCACGUACCAAUUGAAGAGAUGUAUAAAGUGUGGAAAGAACAUUUGUUUUGGAGGAAAUUCAUGCCUGUAGAUGAUCACCGAGCAAAUGUCACCUCCAAUGGAGAACCUUAUUUCAGGCAUCCAACCGGGAGGCAUUUUGUGCUAAAGCUUCAGAGUAUCGUUUCUCCAACUCGAAACAUGUAAACUGCCGUGGAGAGUAAUUUUUUUUAAAAAAAAUGUCUUAUUAAUUUGUUCAUGUCAUUUUUGUAAUAUAAUUGACGUGUUGUUAAAUUUUCAUGUCAUAUUAAAAGUGAAAAGAUUCAUAUUAUGAUUAUAAUUCAUUAAAUUGAUUAUUUGGAAGAAAAAAAAUUAAUAAUUUAUAAUAAAUUCAUUGAUUGGUCCAUGAUUUUUAAUAUAAUUUAUUAAAUUGAUGAUUUAUAUAAAUUUAAUAAUAAUAAAUUCAUAGGUUUUGCUGUUAAAAGUUAUUGAAAAAUACUUAAAAAGUCAUUGAUUUGGUUUAUUUAGACAAAACAAAAUUGAAAAUACUUUAUAUUUUUGACAUCCUCUGUCACCGGCUCUGGUUCCCAUCUUGAGCACCGCACCCAGCCACCCACCACCAGCAAUGGUAUUGCAUCGGAUUCAGUUAUAACUUCCAGUAGAGCCAAAGUUACAGCAAAACGCACGGCCUCCCAUUGCCCUCCUUGAGUAGGAGAGCUUCAUAUACCUGCCACCCACAACCAAACCUGCCCAAUUCCUACAGUGCCGGAAAAAGCUCUCCCCCUCCUCAAGGGAGCUUCCAGGAAAGGACCGCUGCUCCUCUGUAUACAAGGUUAAUAUAAUUCCCAACAAAUAGAGAUACAGCCGCCUUCCUAUCUACUGCUCUUUAUAUGGUAUGCACAAAAUAAAUACGAAGCCUACAAAUAAACCAAUAUUUUAAUUUUGACUAUAUCAUAGAGAGACAUUAUUCUAAAUUACUAGAUUUGCACAUAAAUGCAUGUUCGAAGACCCGACUCGGCCUCAGACAUAGCCCAAUCAACCCACAAGUUGGCUAGUUGAACAUGAAACUCUACCUGACUCGGGUAAAGCUGGUUCGUUUUAUGGUAGAACACAAAUGGUCUACCAUUCUCUAAAAAAAUAAAUCCAAUGACGUACCAUAGCCAGCCAGGAAAUGAUCUACCGUUCACUUUCUACAAUUUUAUGUCGCCAUUUCCGAAGAAACGGAUUGAUUUUGAAACACAUGAUAUUCCUUUCUAGUUUUAGCAUUAACAGACCAUAGCGUAUAGGAUGAAAGUCAGUAUCUGUAACCAAAUUUAUUAUUGUUCAAUUUCCCUUUUACGAAUAUCCUGUUAAUAUCCUAUUUGAGGUUGCGGAUCAAUUUAUUUUUCAAUAAAAUUUGAGAUUUUUUUUGUUUUAAUUUUAUUAUUAAUAUUUUUGAAUUUGCUGAUAUUUACAUUUUAAAAAAUUUAUUUUAAUAUAUUUUUAAAUAAAAAUAAUGUGAAAAUCAAUUAUUUAGCUAGAAAAUGAAGUAUAGAAAGAAUGAGACAGGGAUAAAAGAAAAGCUGGAAUGGGCUGCAUUGCAUCCCUGUAACAAGGAAAAGUUAGGGGAGGAAGGGGGACCAUGCUGAGCAGUUGUAAGAGUUUAGCAUACAAAAUGGGUAGCAGCCUGCCAUGGCCAGCCAGGAAAGCAGAUCUCUUUCCUCUGGUUGCUUUCUUUUCAUUUAUUGAUUCAAGGAAAACUACAUAAUGGCAAUUUGCCAUCAUAGCUAGCUUGGCCUAGGGUUUGGUCAUCCUCUGCAGAAAGUGAGUGAGAUUCUACGGGCGUGCGUGCACUGGAUGCUAGUAAUUUUUUUGUGGUUAGUUUCUCAAGAAAUGGCUGGUUCACACCCUUUAAGCCAGCUGUUCUCUCGUCUCUUCCCUUCCAAAGUCGUCUUCUUUCAUCACCCUUUUCUGCUACCUUCCAAGACGUAGAUAACGAUGUUUUCUUCGUCUUAAUUAAGACGAACCACUUUUCAGAUCUCCUCAAAUGGCUGCCAUUAGUUUGGACUUUAAACCAUGUCUUAGUUUUCGAAUUCUUGGUGAGAAAUGAUUAAAAGCAUGGGUGGCCACUACGUAAGUCUGUGAUUUCGUGGAUUAGGGUGUCCAUUGCGAUGAGACAAGACAGGUUCAGUCCCACGGGCUUAGCAUUGUUUAAGAGUUGGUGCUCAUAUUAAUGGUGGUUUAAGUUAAAAACAAUGGGAUUUAUGGUUAAUGUGAUUUGUCUCUAUGUCAUUGAUUUUUUUGCUCGAAUCUUGGAAUCAAUAUAUACAAAUAAUUCAAUCCUCUAGGUACAUGAUGGCAACAAUUGAAAGAUGUGUUUUUAAAACAUCUAAAGAUAAAUUCAAGAUAUAUUAGAUUUUAUUGUAUUUAUAAAAUAUUAAAGAUAGAUUUAAGAUAUAAAUUCUUUACUAAACACGUUUACUUAUAAGAGAUUGGAAAAAAAUGCUUAAAUUAUAAGCAUAACAUGUUUAAAAACAGUCUUAAUCUCUGCAAAACAAUUUGAAAAUACUUAUAAUCAUAAAAAAAAAUAUUAUAUAAAAUAGUGUUCAAAUCUUCAAAUAUGUGCACCUAUUAGGCAAAAUCUGUAUUUAUCCUCAAGAGGCCUGCGUAGAAAAUAAAUCCUUAAAAUAUUCGAGGAAAACUCAAAUUAAUUUCCAUCUGGAUUCUAGUUAAUUACUCUCUUGAUGGCUUAAAUUUGAGGGUCCCUUCAAUCCAAUUGAUGACUCCUAUCAGUUUCUAUCAAUCAAAUAGGUCAUGUGUUCGCUUAGACAUCUGUUACGCAAUUAAUUUAAUUGGUGGAAACUGAAGCAUUAUCAAAUUGAAUUGAAUUCUUCUAUAUUUUAAAUGCAGUAGACUAGAAUGAAUGCAUGAAAGUCUAGUUGAUAUUGGAAAUAUACUCACGAAGGAUAAAAAAAAAAUGUUUUUAUUCUCUUUAAAAUGUUUUUUUUUUAUCUCAUAAAGUACAGAAAAAACCUAGAAAUUGUUCGCAUCUUUUGCUAUGAAAUCUUAUAUUGCUCAAAAAACUGUAAGCUCUAGACACUUGCCAUAAAAAACAAAAUUAAAAAGAAGAAGAAGAGAGAAAUAGAAGAGAAAAUCUUAUAAAAAGGAAAUUCUUAUGAUUUUUUUACGGGAUCGGAUCUCUUUACUAUGUUGUAAAUAUCAAGUAAGUUACCGUUUGAGUUUUUUCCCAUGAUUGUGCUACAAAAUAGUGUAAAAAAUUCAAUUUCCAUUUAAUGAGUUGCUUUUAAAAUGGCUUAGAUGUGAAGCUAGUUGUCUAUUAAUCUAGUGGUUAAGAUAUUGUUAUAUUCGUGUAAAUAUAAGAAUACAAGUUUUGAUUCUUAAAAAGCGUAUUUAUUGAGAGUGACAGUCACGAAUCCUGAACGAGACUAAUCUUAUCCUUUAAAAAUUUACAAGAAUACCCAAGUAAAAACUAAAGAACAAAUAUAGAGCUAGUUGACUUGACAAAUAAUUUUUAUUAGUUUUAUGCCAAUGAAAUUAAUUAUGUGGGGUUUUGUUAUAACAUCAUUUAAUUAAGAUUUAAAUUACUUGAAUUGCUUCAUGUUAACUCGAUUUGAAUGCAUUUCAUCCUCUCUUUUUUAUCUUUUAAUUAAAGAAUGCAAUUAACACAAAAUAAAAAUAAAGAAGCAUGAAUUGAUUUUCGAAAACAAACACAAGAUUGAAAAGAAAGCAGUGUCACAGGCAGUUGUCACGCUCCCGUGCAUGGAUAUUCUACGAGCUCAUCAUGAUUAACAACAUCUUGCAAGAGUGAUUGACUGAAUCUAUUUAUUUAUUCAUUCAUGACAUGUAAGAAUAUUUUGGUAACUUUUUCCUGAAAAGAAAAGAAACUGCAAUCCAGGUAGUGGAGCAGAGAGCAGGAAGGAAAAUCCAUGGUUGAAAGAGUGAAAAAUUAGAACCGACAAAUCAUGAUUUACCAAUGAUGUAUGGUGUAAGUGGGGCUGUGGAUAGGUUUAAAAGUGUGAGAGAUUUUUAUAUUUCAACUUUUUUAAUUAAAAAAAAAAAAAACAUUGCAUAUUUUAGUCAUGUGAAUGUCGGGAAUACAAGGAUACAAUCUUGGUUCGAAGUCGGCAAAAGAGUUUGAAUAAGCUGUCUUCCACCCGGCAUGCACCCAACUAGUAUGGAGCCCUCCAUUACCUUGCACUAACAAUCCUUGAAUAGUUUCAAAAUAUCAUAGUAGUUUGCUGAGUCAAUCCGGUAAUUCAUAGUUAUAAAUCUAGUUUGGAUAAGAUUUUAUUUCAAAUCUAUUUGUAAUUUUACCCGAUUUAACUAACUUGCUUGAUUUUAAUCAUACUCGUUCUAGUUAAUUUCAAUAAUUAUUUUUUAAAUUUUUGUCUGAAAUAGAGUAUUUUUAUUAAAAUAUAUAUGACAUUUUAAGUUGAUGUAGUAAAUCUAUAAUUCAAAUCUUAAACUAGAUUAAAUUAUAUACCAAGUUAAGUAACUAGCUAGGAGCAUAACCUCUAUGACUUUUUAUGCUCUCAAUUUAAAUUUAAGAUUGUUUCGAGAAAAAGUUUAAUUUUAAAAUUAACACGAGUUGAUUUUAAAAUAUUUUUAUUGUUAAAAUAAACCAUUACCAUAUUAUAAAUUCACAUAAAAGAUAAAAAAAAAAAACAACUUACAUCACUAAAAUGAUUAUAAAAAAAAUUAGUUAAAACCUAAAAUACCACUUUCUUUUUGUUUUCUUUUUUAUCCUAGCAAAUAUAUUCAUAUUCACUUACAAAUACAAUUUUUUUCCUAUACAAAAAUUAAUUAUUGGGACUUGAGACUCAAUUAUGCUAACUUUAUAAAUUAAUACAUUCUUCUUUUAAAGAUUAAAAAUUCACUUUAAAUUUUACUAGAGACAUUUGUUUUACGUUCAUUCAUUCUAUUUUUUUUAUUAAUAUGGGUGUCCGACUCAGAUUGCGCGCACCCCAACUAAUCCCACGGCCCCUGAAGUUAACGGCCAUAUAAAUCUCUGGUGAUUAUCAUAUUAGCAACCAUAGAGUUCGAACUUGAGACUAUAAGAAGAGCAAACUCUUUAAUCCCAAAUUCGUACCACUGGCCAUCUACUAGAUGGUUAAUUCAUUCUAUUUUAUUACAUUAACUAAACAUAACAAUAAAGUUUGUCCAGUUAAAACUUGAAGAACACGAAUUCAAAUUUUUCAUCGUGAUAAAAUAAUAGGUGAAAUUAACCGAUCACGUAAAUUUGGAUAGCAGUGUUCUAGAUUUUAAUUUCCUACCCAACAAACAUGAAAAUCACAAAGGGAUGGUGCUGCACAUAGAAAUGGAAACAGGGACCAUGCAUGUGCAAAUGUUUCAGGUGUUAUGCACCGUUCGAAUCUUCGCAAGGGAACGGUCUCUAAUGGCAAGUGUGAUCACUUACUGUUUGUGAGUGCGGUUAUUUUUAGUAUUUUUUAAAAAAUAUAUAUAUUUUAUCUUGAAAAAAAUAUCAAUUUUUUUAAUGAUUUUAAUGCUAUAAUAUAAAAAUAAAAAAUAUUUUACUAUAUUUUUUAUAUAAAAAAAAUACAAUUUACAGUAUAUCCUACCAUGCAGAAAUGUCUCAGUUUAAUAAUAACAGAGUAAUAUCAAUUUGAAAACGACCGAGUAAGAUUGUCAAGGUGGAAGAGCAGUCAAUCGAUGACUGAUUGCCCAUUUUUAUUUACGAUUGAUGGAACCAUUUUUAGCAUAUUUGACUUCGUAAAAGUCCCUAAAUAAUUGAAUCCUCAAUUCUAUAUCAUCAAAUCAACUAGGAUUAAUAUAUAUUUUUUAUUUUUUAAAAUUUUAUUAAUUUUGAAAGGGAAAACAAGUUUAUUUUUACAUUUUAAAAAAAAUUAAAUUUUUAUUAUUUUUUUAUAUUUUUAGAUAAUUUUGAUGUUCUGUGAAACAAAAAACAUUUUAAAAAUCAACUACUGCUACACUUCCGAAUACUUUUUUUAAUGUUAAAUCAUUUUAAAUUAAAACCCAUCAUGCAUCAGGUUUGAAAUUGUAAUUUGUCACUGAGCCAGGUUUUAUUAACUAUGAUGCUAUUAUUACAAAAAAUAAUUAGAUUAUUUAUCUUAAUAUAGUUCAGUUACAUGAAAUAAAUUAAAUGCGAGAAAAAUCACGAUAGUUGGGAGUCAUGGAGGGGAAAAAACCUACUACGGACAGCAUGAUAAUAAUGACCAUACACCUCUUUGAAAAGGACAGCAAUAUCUUUGUAUCGUGAGGUCUUCGAUCCAACAACACAAGUAAAUGAACACUCUCUGUCUUCCUCUCUCCGGUCAAUUUGUAUCAUUUUAACUCCCUAUUUUUCUCUUCCCCCAUGUAUUUUUGUCCUUGAUAGUUGCUUGAUUUAAGUUGAUUUUUAAUUUAAAUUGAUUUUAAUAUAAACCUGGUUAAACCAGAUAAAUUAAUCAACAAUUUAAUUAAUUUAAUCAAAUUUAGUCAAACAUGUUCAAGUUAAAACCAAAAUAUUAAAAAAAAAAAAAUUUAAUUUGAAGAAAAAAUAAAAAAUAAAAUCAACAACCCACUUAUCCAAACAAAUAAAAAAAUCGUUUUAAAUUGAUUCGACAACUAUGCUACCCAUACCAUUAUUUUAAAUUUAAUUUAGUUGGUAAAACUACUACUAAGAAAAUCUCAAUAAAAGAAUUUUAAAUAGCAAAAAAGAAGAUAAUGGUACAAAGUUUUUAUAUUCAAAAUAUAUCAAAAUAAUAUUUUUUAAUAUCUAUUUUAAUAUCAUCACAUUAAAAUUAUUAAAAAAUUUAUGGAUUUAAUUUUUUCAAUUGAAAAAUAUUUUAUAAAUGAGGCUGAACAAAAAAAAAACAAACAUUAAAUAUUUCAUAUAUAUCCUCUAUACAUAUUACAUAGUCUCAAGCAUUCAAACAUUUACGUUGCCACAUGCAAACUAGUACAAACAUUCAAAAACAUUGAUACAUGGCCUAAAUGUUAGUUUGACGUGGGCCAUUGGAUUAGAUCAACACGAAAAGACCGUACUGAUAUUUUCUUUUGUACAGUGUUACGUUUACUACCUGAUUAACUCUCCUGGCCCCAUAUAACCCAUAAUAUCUUCCAAGUACCGGUACCACUUAUGUUUUACACAGAUCUGCUACAAUCAGCCUUACCGAAGCCCACUCUACGAUUGGCUAGAUCAAACUCCACCCAUAUAUUUUGUUGGUGAAAAUUUCCUAUUAUAUUGCUAGCAGCACCCAACAUUUCCGACCGCCCGAUCCCAACACAAUGGACCCCUCCACCCACAUCAGCUAAAACCCUCUCUUUCUCUACAACUAUCUCCACACCCUUGUCAAAUUCAAACACCAUAUUGCCUAUCAACCGCCCGAUCUCUAUUGCAUUGCCAUUGAAACACAUGUCAGAUACACCACCAUACACGUAUCCCUUCUUUAACCUUGCCCCCACCAGUCUUACCACCUCCUCCCUCACCUUAUUGUAAGCCUCAUCCACCAAGUAAGUGAAUUCGGACCCGGAGUCAAUCAUGGUUUGACCCGCACCACUAGGAUCGGGCCGAAAGGCCGAAAUCGGAAUGUUCAAUUUUUGGUUGCCAAUCCUAAUCCCUUGCAUGGCAACAGUGUAGGCCAAGGGGUCCAAAUUGGGCAUCCGUUGACUUUGAGAAAAAGUCAAAAGAUUAAUAUACCGAAACCCACCUGAAUUCGGGUUCUCACCCAAGUAAAACGACCCUGUUGGGGUAAAACCCGGUCGAACUUGCCGGGUGGGUACACAGUAUGAGAACUUGGUUAAUUUAGCCUGGGAAGCAAAGGACAGCCUCCCAAGGUUCAUUCCCAGAAUGCCCUUGGCAUCACUUGAUUCCUCGGCGCAGCCUAAGAUCAAAGGAGGGGUACUUUGGGACCUAGAAAAUGUAAUCUUUUCCCUUACAAGAUUACCUUCAGCUAAUGUUCCAUCGGCGUAGAAGUAAGAAUAAUGACACAAACGGUUCUGGUCGCAUGACGUUGGUAGGGUAAAAUCAGGAAUUCUGGGCUUGCAAAGAGGAUGAUUACAUGGCAAAACAGAGAAUGAAGAGGAUAAAGAAGGAUCAAACACAGAGCUAGGUGGGGGUUUCCUAGGAACCUUUUUGUGACACUGAAUCCAUGACAACUGGCUGCCCGUGUCCAAAAUCAUUUGCUGAGUUUGAGGUGGUGUCCCUAUAGGGAGAGAGACUAGCAAUAUCAUCGAGUACUUGAAUCCUGACCUGUAGUUAUAUGGCGAUGAGGAAAAGGAAGAACUUUUGAGUGUUGAGGCUUUCUUGGUUUGUGAGAUGAAGGAAGGGUAGAAAUUUGGAGAGGCUUGUGGGGAGCGAGGGAGGGAAGUGAGUGGGAAAGAAAAGGAAAGGGAGUCAUUCUUGUGCUGGGUUUCUUGUGCUGAGAGGGAGCAGGAGGUGAGUAGGAGGAAGAGGUAAAAAAGAAGCAUGGUUUCUUUGAGAAGAGAAGGAGAGGAAGCAAUAGAAGAGAGGAAGCAAGAGGGCAGUGUUGGAGUGGUUUUGAGUACAGUUUGUGGUGUAUGGUUGUAUUUAUAUGCCAGAGAAAGGUAGUGAUAGGCUGGGUAAAGCCAAAAUAGGAGAAUUCGAAAAGAAAAAAAAUGAAAAAAGAAUACGCGUUUUCUUAAUUGAGUGGUUAGAUCUUAUAAUGACAGUAGAAUUGAUGCUUGCUUAAUUGAGUUGCAGAAGAUAUGAGCUGCCCUAGUAGAAUCCUGAAUAUAGCUAAACAAAUUCCUUUCUUGAAAUUAACUCAUUAGAAAUGUUUUUGAGAUUGUGCUGUUUAUGUUUUUAAUGAAAAAAAAAACUAAAAAAUAUUAAUUUUAAUUUUUUUUAAAAAACAAAUAUUUAAAUCUUUUUUAAAAAAAUCUUGUACAACAACACUUAUGCCUACAAUUAAUUGAAGCUCAAAAGGCAUCCUAAAAAGUACUCCAAGUUCUCGUGAAGCUAAGUAAUGGUGUUUACACUUUACAUGGAGUGAUCCUGAUAUUAUGGAGUUCAAUGUUGAUCCGUUUUGUAUGUUAUGUCAAGAGGAUGCCAUCGCUAUUUUACUCAAUAAAAUCUUCUUAAUAAGCUUAAUGAAAAUGGACAUUGGUAUGUGCAUCGAUAAUCUCAAGAAGUUUGGAAAAUAAUCUUUUUCAAAAAUAAAUAUAAUCAAUUAUUCCACAUACUCUAUUUUCAAAAAUUAUUUUUAGAAUAUCAUUGAUGUAAAAUUAAAAAAAAAUUACAAUAAAUUGAUUCAAUUUCAAUUUCAAUUUCAAUUUCAAUUUCAUAUACAAAUCAACAUUGCUUUAUCUACAAAACCAACAAGAUAUGUCGUGUCUCUCUGUGGCUUGUUGCUUGUCUCUUCGAGAUUCUUCGAGUCUAGCGGUGCGAGCAUGAUCUCGUUCGGGUGUUUUUACUCGUUUUCAUGGCCAUAAUUCGCUUGUUAAGAUUGUUGUUACGCGUAUAUGGUGGCGCAUGAACUUCAUGUAUAGUGAGAAGACUUUAUUGAAGAAAAAAAAUAUUAAUAUUUGAUUUUUGUAUUCAAUACUCUUGUGAUGAUUAUUUUGGACUUGGGAGAAAUAUUUUGCUAUGAUAUUCUAAUGUAAUAAUUAUAUUGACAAACUUAGGUCAUCGGUAUUUUGAUGAGGUUCAAGAAAUACUUGGGUCGUCGGGCUCUUCCCUCGGUAUGUGCCACUAACACAGACGCUACAGCCCACGCUAUGAAUACGCUGCCCCACCUAGUUCUUGACCUGAUAUAUGUCACAAAGCCGUGCAUUGCAUGGCUUUUGUUUUGCUGCCGUGGAAAUUACUUUCUGAUAUAUGUCACAAAGCCGUGCAUUGCAUGGCUUUUCUUUUGCUGCCGAGGAAAUUACUUUCUGACUUUUAGUUUCCUCUGAUUUCCUUUUUCUUUUUCUUUUCAGUUCAACUAAAAAGCACGUUGUGUUUCAUGUGUUUUUAAUAUUGUGGUGCUGAUUUUUUUUAAAAAUAUAUAUUUUAUUUAAAAAUAUAUUAUAAUAUUAUAAAAAAAAAAACAAAAAUGAUUGUUCUCCGAACACUAAUUUAAACACGAUUACAAUAAUCAAGCAAUUUAAAUAAAAUACAUCUAUAAAUUUUUUAUUAUAAUUUCAAGUACAUAUAUCACAUAAGUCAGGUGGAUCAAUAACUAGAUAAAUUGACAUCUAAUCUUUAUUAUCACAAGAUCCAUGCUUUUGAGUGUCGUAAAAGAAAAAUAUGUUCAUUUCAGGGUUUUUUUUAUAAAAAAAACACAUAACUAAAUUUAUCAAGGGAUUAGAUUAUAUAUCAAUUAAGAUUGAAUUUUUUAUUGAAUUUUUUUCUCUAAACAUUAUUAAUUAAACACCCACACAUUGACUUAUGCAAUAAAAAUAUUAAAUUAUUUUAGAUAUUAGAUCCAAAAUGAAGAGGGAUGCAAAGUUUAACAACUUCAGUAAUUAUAUAUAAAUUGUAUUUAUAAUAUAGGAUUAAUUGAUGGACAUCAACAUUCUGAUAAAAAAAAAAAAAAAGUGCUAUGAAUUGGUUUCAUAACAUGACUAGCGUUCAAGGGCGUCCACAAAUUUUCUCAAAUCUGUGAGUAACAUUUAAAUAUCUAUAGGAUAGUAGGCUACAGACAGGCAAAUUGAAAAUAAUAAUAAUAAUAAUAAUAAUAAUAAUAAAAUACUACUGGGAAUAUUUACUUUUGACGUUUUUUAUUUUCUUUUCUAUCAUGGCGUCUAGUGGCACAUCAAUUAGAAACUUCUAAUACAAUAACAUUAGUAGAUUUCUUUAAUCAUUGGCCUAUUAAGAUAAAAGCACAAAAAGUCUGGCCAAUUUCAAAGAGAACACUAAACAAUCAAUAGGGACCCAGCAAGUCAAAUUAGUCGUAUAAAUUUGAUUUUUUUUAAACUAAAAUAUGCAAAAGAUUGUAUGAACAUUAUAUAACGAAUUUCCUAGAAAUGAAUUCUUAAUUUCCCCAUGUAAAUAGUAUAUAUAAAAGAGUCGGGGAAAAAAAACAGUGUGCAGCGAAAAGAAAAAAAAAUCAUGAUUUUUCAAAUUUUAAAAUUGCUACUGAACUACAGGGAAAAGCUUGAUUUCAUAAAUUUUCAAUGUCAAUAAAUUGUAAUCUAAUAAAAUAUGAUAAACAAUUCUAUAUAUUAGCCUCGUAUUUAAAUUUAUCUAAUUUUUUAUUAAAAGAUUACUAACUAAAAAUUGCAUGGCAAAUAGAAAAGAAAAGUAAAAAAAUUCAAAUAGUAAUUUCUUUACUUAAAUUCGAGCAUAAUCUCAUAUGAGAUUAGUGCUAGCUUACUCAUCUCAUAUAUAACUGACCAGGUAGAAUAUAUUCAUAAAAUUUUAAUUAAAUUUAAUAAUUAAAUUAAAAAUUAUAUUUGUUUUUGUUAAAAAAAUCGUAUAAUAUAUAUACUAUUUUAAUAUCAGAGAACUAUCUCAAUUCAAUAACUUAAACUCUCCAACACACUUUCUUAAAUGAAAAUCUUUUAAAUUUGAAACUUGUACAGACUUACACCAUUUUAUACUUAUUUUUUUAUCAAAUAAAUAAGGAUGGUGAGAUUCGAACUCGUGAUUACUUAGUUAUAAAAGCUUUGAUAACAUGUUAAAAAAUUAUCUCAACUUAAUAAUUUAAUUUUUUAAAUAAAAUCAAUGAUAUAAUUUAUAUUAUUUUUAAAUAUUUAAUUUCUCAUUUAUACUUUAAUCUUUUUUUAUCUAUCAUUAUUUUUUUUUCCUUGUGAUGUCAUUGGACAUUGCUACUUGCCAGGUAAUGUAUUGGUUCUUUAAACUUGGAGUACUGUCAAAGACUGUCUGAAAUCUGAAUGACUGCAAAGUGGGUGGCGAGCCAGGGCUCGAAUUUAACCAGCUGGCCACCAUGACAAAGUACUCAAAGAACCAUCUCAUAGGUAGUUGAAAAUGGUUGAAUAGGCUCAAAAUUCCAUGGAAAUUUCAAAAAUCUACGCACACCAGAAUCUAAUUCUAACCACACCACGAUGUCUUCAAUUGGUUUUUUUACCCUAUUUAUUUCAUCAUUGUAUUUGAAAGUUGCUAAGCAACAAUUUUCUUAAGAUGAUUAAUUUUGUACAGAAGAAUGUUUUAGAAAGUUUGUUUUUUCUUUAUGAGAAAAUAAAUCUUUGAAAGCAAAUUAACUAUAGCCACCUACUUAAUUUACUCCAUAAAUUAUUUGUUGUUGUUUCAAGAAAUAUAAAAUAAAUACCCUAAUAUCUUAUAGUUUGAUAUAAAUUAUACUUAUAUAAUGAUUUUAUAUAAAUUAUAGUUUAUAUCACUUGUAAGUAUAAAAUAAAAUAAAUUAUAAAAUAAUUUAUUAUGUAAACUGAUACGCGUAUAAUCAAGUUCAUGUGCAAUUUUAACUAAAGUAUUAUAGGAUGAUAAGAAUAAUUUUUUCUUAAAAAAAUCCAUAUUCGAAGUUUGUUCCCUCUAUUAGUGAAUUUUUAAUAAAAAAUAAAAACUUAUUUCAAUUAUGUUCAUUACUGGAUUUUUUUUCUUGAGAAUAAUUAUUGGGAGCUGAACGAAUUGCAAAACAAUAUGUCAAAUGCAAUGGAGAAGGGGGCCAAAUUUAAUUGACUCAAUAAACAUUAUACUCUAAUAUUUAUUACGAAAUACAUAUUAUAAUUCAUUGAUUCCUUGUUUCUAGUGAAUUUAAAGUGAGAAAAAAUAUUAAAAAAAAUCACGCCAUAUUAUUAUUUUAAUUAAAAAAUAAGAAAAGGGUCAAAGUUUUCCCCUAUAAAGGAUUCUAAUAAAAUAAAAUAAAAUGAUAAAAUAUUUCAAUUCAAAUACUGCAUGAGAAAAAUAUAUUGUUAUUGAAACUCUCUUGUUUACUCUUCCAAACUCGUAUGUAAUAACAAUGGGCAAAGAGUAUAAUAUUUUGAAAUCAUAUUUGAAAGAUAUAUGCAAGUAUAGGGACUAAAAUGGACUUUAAAGGGUAAAGGACUCAUGGCCCUCUCCCGCUCCUGCUUUUAAUAUAGUCCUUGGAUCAUUCUAAAAAGAAACUAACAAUAUAGUCCUAGAAGUUAUUAUUUUUAAUUUUUUUUUCUCAUUCUAAUAUUUAAGCCUUUGAUUUGAAAAUCAACAAUUAGAAUACACUAACAUAACGUAUCAUGUAACUCUAAAAAAAAAAAAGAUUUAAGCCUUUUAUUUUUUUUAUCAAUUCGAUCCUUAUUAGACAAAUGUUCAAACUAUAUAUAAUUAGAUCACGGAUUAUUGUCAUAAGAAAAGCAUCCAAGGCAUAAAACAUUUUUGAGAUAUUUUUUGUCCUCUCAACCCUCCUCUCUCGCCCACGACAACACUAGCCAUGUUGCCUGAGCCGCACCGCAGGAACUUUUGGCCGGUAGCUAGUGCUUUCCUUCUUGAUUUUCUUGUCUUCGUGCUCGGAACAUGGUCGGUUUGAUCAAAGUAUUUGGUCAUGGGACUCAUGGGGAGGACUGAACGAUCGUGCCAUAAGAUGACAAGCAAUACUUAGCCAUUUUAAAGAAAAAAAAAGGGAAUAUUCGUCACCUCGUUAAUUCUUCAUUCCUCCUUUUGUUUUGUGGUUGCUCCACACUUCCUUUUGAUUAAUCUAUUUUUAGUGGAGCAUCUUAAAUAUCCUUAAUAUAUGACAAGAUCUUUAAUUGUAUUGGCAUUUGGAAUCUUAAAAAAAUACAUCCACCUCUCAAUACAAUUAAAUGUAUACACAAAUAAAUGGAUUUGGAUUUUUUGCAAAGUUAAUCUUGCUAGCUACAUUAAUUUAUUAACACAUGUUACUUAUGGUAACAAAAUUCAAGAAUUGUUUUUUUUAAAAGUCCCUAAGAUUAGGCCAAACCCAAGUGCGCGAGGCACGUUCAAGUGCCCAACGCUCGGGCCAUCAGUGUUGAGAUGAGUGUGUGUUUGGAUGACAGAUAGCUUGUGUUUUUUUUGGUAAAAAACGUGUUUUUUUUUUUAGAUUUUGAAGGUGUGGUUUGUGAUUAAAAGGUGUUGCAUCUUUGAAAAAAAGCCACCGCAACUCCAAGCCAAACACACUCAAGCCUCAAUGCUUAGGUAGGCCCGAGCAACCCCGCGCAAGAAACCUUUGCCCUUGACCAUUCUAAAACCAAAUCCCACGUGUUAGUUGACACACUCAAAAACUCUUUUCACCAAUUUUUUUACUCACAUUUCAUGUUUUUUAUAUUUAUUUAUUUAAGUAUUGGAAGGUUUUCUAUUUUGACAAGGAAUUCAUUUUUUAAGUGAAUACUCGAUAGACCAAGGUUAAAACUACUCGAAAAUAUAGAAACACAGCCCUAAAAAGCCUACAAUUUCUCAAUUACUUGUAAGCAAUUUUUAAUUAAAUUUUGUGAAAUUGAUUGAAAGAUUUUUUAAAGAAUCUGUCAAUAUACAAUCAUCGAUCUUUUGAUCAAGAUUUGAAGUCUAACUAUAUCAGCAGCUACUACAAAGUGGAAGAUUCUAGUUAAUCAUUGACAUAUAUAGAAGGUUUUUACCAUUAUUGAUCUGGGUUUCUGUAAAUAUAUUAAAUGAAGUUAUAUUUACCACUCCAUCAACCAAUGUACAGAUAUGUUUGUUGUUCGAGGUGUGGCAACACAACUUAAUAAACCAAGCAUGAAAAACAAAGGCAUCGAUUGACCCCAUGUACAUCUAUAUUAAACUCUCGUCUAGUUCCAUGUAUCAAGCAGAGUACUGUCUUGUUGGUGCUUCAUUAUCAAGAACAACAAAACAAUCAAAUAUUAUAGAUUAAUAUUCCAUAGAUAUCAUAUGCAAACAUGCAUAAAUUACGAGCCCGUGUAUAUAGGUUAGACAGAACACAAAACAUUAAUUCUAAACCCAUGAGUGAGCAUGUCUUGUCAUCACUAGGCUAUGAUAAUAUAAAAUUUAAGGUUCGAUCUGCCCAUCCUAGAUGAUUAAUCAAGCAGUUCGUACUUACAGCUCCUAUCCGGUAAUGUCAUAUCAAUGUUAGCUUUAACCUGCCAUGAUUAGGAAGGACUUCAUGUCCCAUGCCAGUUUUCGGUAACAAAGAAGCUCAAGGAAAUAAAUCUCUCAACGAUCAAUAUAGUUGCUAUAAAUAUCCAGGUAAUAAUCUGAUCAUGAAUUAGUGCUUCAACCCCUACUUGUUAUUAAACUAAUUUGACAGGUUAAUUUUGAUAAUUUUGAUAAUUCAUAAUUCAAAACUUGAUCUAAAUCAUGUUCUGAAUUAAAUAAGACACGGUGAAAUUCCAUUCACACAAUUGAAUUUUUAAUAAUUUAGUUAACUCUAUUAAAUUCAGUGCAUACUUGAUCAGAUUAAUAUUAAGAAACUUUAAAUGAUAAAAAUAAAAUGAUUAUUGACCUAUAUAUAUAUAUUGUUAUACAGUGAUUUUUGAAGAAGUUCCAUAAACAGGGAGUUCCCAAGACUUGUUUGAAGGAAAAAAAAUAGCAGCUAGUUCCCGAGGCUUGUUUGAAGGAAGGGAGGAUCAUGCAACUCGAGAUAAAAAUUUUGGUGUUGAUAUGAAAGUCUAUUUUUUUCUUAUUUUUUUAAUCAAAUCCUGCUGGUUUUCAAGAAUUAGAGCAAGGUUACGAGGAGAUCGAUCCAGUUUCUCUUGAGUAAUCCUCUAACCAACAAAAUGAAUUAUCUGUAUUUAACUAGAGAUCAUGUAAGCCAUGGGAACACUACAUAUGUUUGCCUGUAAGAACAAUAACAAUUAAAAAUAAUAUUAAUAAUCAUAGAGCACCAAACCUCAAGAGAUAAUGGUAGCUAGCUAGGUAGGACAAAACAAUUGAUCGUGGGAAAGCUAUAUAUGGUCAACAAGUUAUAUGAAUGGAUGAUGGAGAGUUUCCCAGGCUGGACCCAUAACAUAGAUGCUGCCUUCACUGAAAAGAAGUACAUGCAUGGGAGGCAAAUGAAUGCUUGUUACAUCAAUGCCAUCCAUGCAUUAAAGAGUUUGGAUCCUGUAUCCAUCCAUGCUUAUCGGUCUGCAGCAAUUCUCAAAGCCAUCAUAAAAUAAUCACGAACUAGUUAAUAAAUGAAUAAAAGAAAGUACUAUAUAUAUAACUUUUUUUUUUAUUAUUAUUAUUAUUAACGUAGGUAUCUAAAUCAAUUUGGAUGCAUUUUAAUUAAUCCCACGGGUCCUGAAAUUAAUGACUAUUUAAGCCUCCAGUAAUCUUGAGAGGACUCGAACUCGUGAUCAUUAAGAAGUAAAUCUAAAACCUAACGUUGAGUUAUCGUUACUAACUUGGACGUACCUCAACUAAUCUUAUAAGUUCUAAAAUUAAUGACCAUUUAAACCUCCAGUAAUCCUGAAAUGACUCGAACUCGUGGUCAUUUAAUAACCAUUUUUAUCUACUCUUUCCCUCUCAAUUAACUAUAUGUAAGACGGAUUUUAUCCAUUAUUCAUCCUUGUACUCUUCGGGAUCUCUUUAUUAAUCGAAAUCUUUCAUUCUUUAAUAAUUAAGUUCUUAGAACUACGGAUUGAUACGAUAACUUAGCCAUUCGAGAUCUUUUAUAAGUUAGAUUUAUGAUCAAAUUUAACAAUUAUAAUGGCCAAUAACAAUUUCAGAACUGGUUUGGCAUCUUUAGUUUAUCUCGAUUCAAAAAAGGAUAAUUAAAACUAAGAAAAUAAAUGUGAAGAGAUGAAAGUAGAUAAACAUGGCUGGAAAGUAAGAAUUCCUCACGGGUUAUAUAUAUAUUACCAUGUAAAUCAUGAUCACGGGCUGUGAAGUUUUUUCACAGUAAAAACACAGCACUUCACAUACUUUCUAUGAUCCGUUAAUUAUUUUAGAUAUCAAACACAUGAGAUGUGGGGAAGAAAAAGGUGAUCGACUUUUAGGUCGCUAUUCUUUCACGGUUCUCCUAUCCUAGCCAUGCAUGGAAUACAUCUUAAUCCUAGCCCUGUAUUUUUGGCUUGCUACUCUCUCGGCUUGAGUAGAAGAACCGACAGCAACAUUCCUUGUCAUGAGAUGACACGUGCACACUAUGCACCCAUCCAUAUUGCAGCUAACUGUCGAUAACAAUACGUGUUCUUGUACUCAUAAUUGUCUGUCGAUGACAAUUAUGAAAUAAAAAGAGAAUUCAAUUUCAUAACUUUGUAUGGAAGUUUAGACUCCGUUUAAAACAUUUGGUUUGAUUAGAAUUUAUAUCUUUGAACAGUACUUGAAUUAAGAUUUUAUGGUCUCGACUUCUUUAAAUAAUUCAUGAUAAGGUUUUAAUUGAUCAACUUAUCUUCCUUAUUAAAAUAUAUAAUUAAUAUUUUGGAUAUUAUUUUUUUAAUUUAACGCUAGCUUUGGUUUAAAAGUACUGAAUCCCUCUAAACUAUCAAUAAAAAAAAAUCAUUUGUCCCUAAAUGGUAUCAAUAAAAUUAGGAUUAUAUAUAUAUAUAUACAUAAUCAAAUUAUUGACACAGGAACUCCAUUAAAUAAUUUGUUAUAUUACAGGAUGAAUAUGAUUUUUGUGUCAUUUUUUCAAUUAUUUUUGUGACUAGGUUUGUAAAUUUCUAUAUAUAGAAGAAAAAGGUAUUUCUUUUCGAGAAUUUUUUUUUAAAAAGCAAGCAUUCUAAAUUACCCUAUUUUGAAGGGGAAAAAAGGCCUCAAUAUUCCCAGCUAGGGUAUCGUUUUAGUGGAUAGCAAUUCGAAUAAAUUGAUUGACACCUCAACUCCCAAAAGCACCAUCUUAAGUUUUUAAUUACUAAAACCAUAUUAUUUCUCAGUCGUCACCAAGCUCACCUUGGCUUCAUCAUAGACUCCUACAACAAGAUGACAGGAUUUGACCCUUCUUUUCUGGGGAAUAUGCACCAUCUUUCUAUUUCUUUUUAAGUAUGUUAUCUUCUUCAUGCUACCAACAGGCACUUAUAUGACCAGUGCAUAUCAAGUGGAGAAUCUUCACUUAAUUAGGUGAAAAUCAUGAAUUAUUGAUCUUGACGAGUGUGCUUGAGAGUGAUGUUGCUUUAGCUUUUUGAUAUAUUUUUGAUGAUUUUCAAGGAAUUUUUUUUUAAAUCAGUAUAGCACUAUUUGUUACAUUAAAUUAUACGUAAUAACAACUUGAAUAUUGAUGGGGUAGCAAGGAUAAGCAUGGAAGGUAUACCAUAAAUCAAUUAGCACCUUUAACUAUGAAUUCGAAAUUAUUGUGUUGGCCUUUCACUAUCCAAUUGGGAAAGCGUGCUCAAAUAUUCAAUCAGCUUGAAUAACUUUUGGCCUAAAAUUAAAUUAAUGAACUAACCUAUUGAUACGAUUUCAUCACCAUGGAUUCGGGUAGGUUCGAAAGAGAAGCAAAGAAAACAAGGUCAAGAGUGCCGUCACAUAUUGUAUUAUAAUAUGUUAUUAAUUGCCUGGUAAAUUAUAAAAAAACACAUCUCUAUUCAUAGUUAAAUGACAGGAAGAUUAAUCUAAACCUCUAAAUCCACCCCAUUUGUCCCAUUGCAAGGGGUCAACUGAAGCAUACAUGGAGUAAUCACUUCUUGGGAAUGGACAGUCGACUUGUUAUCAACGUUUUGGACCCCAAGCGACCAAGAAAUCACACACACUAUGGAAUUGACUCCUGAGAAAUGCAUAAAAUGCAUGGAUAUAGCCCUCUCUAGCUCCAUGAUCUCUUCAUCUUUCUAGCCGUGACAAUAAUUGAGUUCAUACUACGCAAGAAAAUGCCAAAUGACUUGUCUAAUUUUAAACGAAAACAUUGAAAGAACCUCCUAUAUGAACAAUCAAUCACAUCGUUAGCGUAGCAAUAGACAAUCAAUCAGAUUAUUUUAUUAAUUCUAGUUAACAUGAUUGCUACGCAGUCACUUGAAAUUAAUUCAUGUUAUUAAUUUCUCCUUUUUUAUAAAAUAUUCAUGAAUUUACUAGGAUUUCUCUUGCUUGAAUCCCAUGCAAUUCAAUUAAGGGAUUUUCACAUAAUUGUCUAUGAUUUUGUUGUCCAAGACUACUAAAAUAUUUAAUUAUUAGAAAUCUAUUUACACAUCGAGAAUUUCAUUGAAAUGAAAACAUAUAUCCAUCUAUCAACUAGUAUAAACGUGGGAAAUUUCCCUACUCUCAAGUCGGACUCGUAAAAUAGUAGUAGCUGUCUCCAGCAACAGGAACGGAUAAGAAACAAGAUGAUGUUGUCGACAUCAAAUUGGUCAUAAACUAGUUGUAAACACAGCAUCUUCCCGUCUUUAUGAAUUUUCGAGUCACUCAAAAUAAUGCCUCGCCAUGCAUGCUCCUUGGACCACAUUGGAAAACCAUGGCACAACCUUUCUUUAUCUAGGACCUCUUUAUCAAUGCUUAUCAACGAUAAGGUUGUUCAAUCGAAACCAAGAGAAAAGGAAAUGAAUUCCAACUCAAGUUUUAAUCAUUCUUCCUUCUUAGGAGACCCAAUCGAAGCUAGCUACACGCCUAGGUCCAUUUUUUCCCCUCUCAAUUGUCCUAAUUUAAGACCAAGUGAGGUGGAGUGGGCAAGUAGAGGUAGCUUUCUCUAACAUUUCAAUUUUUUCAUUAAAAGAAAGGAAAACAUUGUAGUAAUAAAUAAUAUCUUCCUCGUAGUAUAAUCCCGCUUAAUUAUCUAUUUAUGGAAUUUUAUCAUUCACAUGGAUAUAUUAAUCAUUAACAAAUUGUUUAAGAAUAAAUUUGACUUUCACUGGAUAUAGCUAAAUGACAUAAAUAUUAGCUUUACAAGAAAAAAAAGUUGACUUGGGUACAAGGGCUUUUAAGAUCUUUUAUUUCUAUAAACGUACUUAAAUUACUUAAUUAUAGCAAAAAAACUAAAAUUUCUUUUGGCAACAUUUUUUUUGAAUUUUUUUUUGUAUAAUCGAGAUGUCUUUAGAGCAAUUUGGUAUUUAAAUGAAUAUAAAAUGUUAAUAAAAAGAAAAAUUAUGAGUGUUUAUUUAUUUAUUUAUUUUAUUUUAUUUGAUCAUUAUUCUUAUGAUUGUUAUUCAUUUUUUUAUCUUAUUUUUAUUCAAUUUUAUCUUUCAUCAUUAGGUUUCAUUUGAUUUUUACAUAAAAUUUAGUCCUCAUUCUUUUAAUAUUUUUUAAUCCUUUAACUAAUUGAAAUUUGUUUCACUUUCACCUCUUAGCAUUUCAUUUUGAUUUUUUAUGUUGAAUUUGGCCCUCAUUCUUUUUAUUUUUUAUUGUAUUUUUUUUGCAAUUUCAUCCCUCAAUAUUUUUCUUAUUGAGUCCUGGGUUUCAAAGACUAACACGCGUUGAAUUUGGUGUUUUUUAGGUUGUUUUAAAAACUUGAUUUUUUUAAAUUUUAUCCUUAAAUAUUUGAGUUUUUUGAAGCCUUCAUGCUUUUUUUUUUCCUCUCUUUUCUUUUGAUAGGGUUAUCUCAAUCCUAUAUCUAUAAUCACGUGAUUGAUGGGUUAACGUGGAUUGAUUUGAAUAUUUUUUAUUUUUAAAAAGUUCUUUUUAUUUGGGUUUCAUAACUCAUUAACUUUUUAUUGAGGAUUUUGAAUUAUUGUUUGUUGGAUUUGCCUUCUAUGUAGUCGGUCUUAGUCUUAUAACCACGAUCAUGAUCUUCAAAGGCAGACACAUGUUGAUUUUAGUUUUUCUUAAUGUUUUUUUAAUUACCAUUUAAUUUCAUUAUUUUAUAUUAGUUUUUUUUUAAUAUUUUUUUAAUUACUGUUCAAUCUCAUCAUUUAACAUUAAAUAUUUUUAAAAUUGGUCUUCAAAUUUUUUAUUUUCUUACUUACAAAAAUCAACUGAUCCUUUACAAAGUGCAAGUACAAAACUAGUUUGUUGUUAUAUUUUGUUAAUGAUAAUACUCCUGAUAUUUUUUUUAAUGGAAGAAUCUCAACCCUAGGUUUUAUUAUAUUACAAGUGAUUUAUUUUAAUGUGAAAUUAGAAUCACUCACAUCAUUUUGCAAAAUCUUUACUAGGGCUGUGAUCAUAGUUAUUAAAUCUAAUAUGAGUGUCGAAUUCGAUGCAAGUUAUUGGUUGUCUAGGGUUACUCUAAACCGAUUAUUAUUAUUCCUUAAAAAUAACAUUGUUUUGAAAAUUACCAGAUUUUGAACAGGUUAUGACUUGGCCUGUUUAAUUGAACAAGUCAAAUCAUUUUGACUUUAAAUUGACUUUUUUUUGAGAGUGGCUCGAGUUAGGGACUAGUCGAUUCGAUUUCGGAUACAUCUGAUAGGAUGGGCCAGAUUUAAUAAUUUGCUGUUGAUACCUUGACAUUUUAUGGAAGAGCCUAGGUACAGGCUAUGGGUUGUAAAACUCUUCACCACAUUUUUACAAGUUUUUUAGGCCCAUUGUUGGUCCUUCGGCUAAGAAACACAAAUGAAUCCUAAGAAUUUGAUCCAAAAAGAGCCCACAACACACACACACACACACACACACACACACAUUCUCAGACAGCUAGAAGAAGCGUUUGUUGCCAGUACCUGGGGGCUUGAGCAACAGUCCUAUAGCCAGCAAAGUUGACCUUUUUCAGGUAAUUCCCUUGCUUUCUCUUCUUUGCCAUGUUAUUGAUAAUCUUGUGUUAUAUCAUAUGCUGUUUCUCCGUCUGCUAAAUUCAGUUACAUGUAUUGUGGUUUGGAAUUUAUAGAUACUAAAGAUGUUAGUUUAUCCUGGCAACCGUGUUGGAGUUUAGAUUAACAAAGUACUGAGAAAGUAUCCGUGGGUUGGAUUCAAACUAGAAGACUUAGAAGGACCAAAUUGAUGAUAUAGGAAAACUGGUACUACUUUUAGUCAAUGGAAAGAAAUGCAUGAUCUAUUGAAAUAUAUUUGUAAUCAGAAGAAUAAGAUUGUGUUUGAUUGAUGCAUGCAUGACCACCUUGAGUGUUGGAGAUUAGGUAUUAGUUCAUAACAGGGGGAAUUGUUGUAGCUUCGGUUUCGGGAGCUCCAGUGGGAUUUUGAGCUGGAGUUUGAUGGGGUAUUUGAAGACGGGGGAUCUUUUUUCUAGCUUUUUUAGGUCAGUACAGUAGAUUGGUGAAUAUUUCUUAGACCGAGGUAGGUCGAAGGGUGUGUCAAUAGGUGCAAGGGAGGAUGGAGCUGGCUCUUGGAAAAGCACUAGUAGUGAUUGGAAAGUCUCUCAUCUGAGGUAGGUGAUGGGUGAAGGAACUUGUUGCGACAAGUGUUUGAUGUGGUGAAGAAGAAAAAGGUAUUGAUAUUUAGUUAUAUUGAGGGUGAAGGGCGGAUGGCAUGAUGGGAUUUGACAUUCAUAUGGUUUCAAAUAGGUGUUCAAUGAAAUUUUCUAAAAACUUGAACUUUUGUUUAGGCCUGUCGUCUGGACUGGUUUCUUUCUUGUUUCCAUCAACCAAUUUCCACCUGAUCUGGCUUAAGCAGUUGUUUCUGAUGAAUUCUCAAUGUUUAGCAGAAAUUAUGCUUGCUUGGUGGAUAUUAUACAUAAACACUCAAACUUUGGGCCGCCAUCAUUAUCUGUAAGCUUAUAAACAAUUUCAUAUAAUUUGAAUCAGCCUCCUUCCCCUUAGCUACUGAAUUGUAAUGUAAUUUCAAGUGAAAGCAAAUUUCAUGUUCUCACAAUAUGGCUCACACCUGCAUUUCUCAGGAGAGAGUAUUUCAGCCGAGACAGUUUUCAGUCUGUGGACUCUAUUUCUGAAUACUUGCUAUCCCAUUGCUGACUGCUAUGUAAUGUUUGCAUAUUUGUUAAUUGAUUGCAGCCACCAGACAUUUCCUGUUACACUGAAAAACUAGAGCUUUCGUGAAUGGAAUCAGAUAUGGUUAUCCAUAAUGGAGGAUGUCAUUGCAGGAGAGUAAGGUGGCGAGUCCAAGCACCAAGUAGUGUUGUCGCUUGGAACUGCAACUGUUCUGAUUGUUCCAUGAGGGGAAACACUCACUUCAUUGUCCCUUCUGAAAAGUUUGAGCUUCUUGGAGAUUCCAAAGAAUUUCUUACAACCUACACUUUUGGCACGCAUACAGCAAAGCACACAUUCUGUAAGUUUUGUGGCAUAACUUCGUUUUACAUUCCACGAUCAAAUCCAGAUGGGGUUGCGGUUACUUUCAGAUGUGUGGACCCAGGGACUCUCACUCAUGUUGAGAUUAAGCACUAUGAUGGGAGGAAUUGGGAAAGCUCAUACAAUCAGACAGGCAUUGCUUCAUGCUCCCAAGGUACAGACUGAAUUGUCACUCAUUCUUCCACCACUCUCCUCUGUUUCCCUCCCUAGAGGAGAAGUACAACAUUUGGGAAAAACCUUUGUGAUGUCGCUUUUUGGAAAUCCUCAAAGUUGGAAAAUAAAAUUAGCAAUGCCUAAGUGUUGCCCUCGGCCAAAACUUUGCACCGUUUCCUUGUGUUAUUUGAACAAAAAAACAAGUUACCCUAACUGCUAAUUAAGAGAGAGACUUUACGCAUUUCAUGAUUCCCACACUGAUCAUCAUUUCCCUUGAACAUGAGGAUCAAAUGGACAGCAAAAAACAGAGGUUGGAAACUAACGAUUUGCAUGUUUAAAUGACCUCAAGAAACACAAAGUAGUCCUGUAGGUUUGGUUCACCUUUCACAACACAUCAAUUUUCAUCCCAGCACGAGCUUGAUAGCAUUUGCCAGUGUCGUUUGUGUCAGUAGCCAUGGCUAGAGAAACCAAUACAGCAUAUGCUAAACUUGGCACAACAACAAAUCAUGUGCUGACUUUUGUGCCCGCUAUAUCUCUGCAUUUCAAAGAACCUUCAACUCGUUAAUUUGAUCAAAGUCUUUGGUCAUGGGAUUCAUGGGAAGGACUGAACUAUCAUGCCAUAAGAUGACAAGUAAUACUAAACAAAAAAAAAUUGAGAAUAUUCAUCACCUCGUUAAUUCUUUGAUUUUUCCUUUUGUUUUAUGGUUACUCGACACUUCCUUUCGAUUAAUCUGUUUUGAGUGGAGCAUCUUAAUUAACCUUAAUAUGACAAGAUCUUUAAUCACAUUGGCAUCUGGAAUCUUAAAAAAAAUACUUCCUGCUUGACACCCUCGCCUCGAUCUGUCUAAUCCCACCCCAUAACAUGUCUCUAUGCCUCUUGUUUUUUCAGUUCUCAUGACUCUGCAUGUAUGCAGGCGCGCACAAAUUUUUUAUAUGCAGAGUAUGCAUCAUUUUUCAAUCAAACACCACUUUUCAAUGUCCAAUGGCACUUGCCUAUCCAGCCAAGACCACUAUCAUCUUCACAAAUGAAAUGAUGUGAAUGACAGAACAAAUUUUUUUGGGAAAUAUUUUCACUAACAUCUUUAUCAUAAGGAUUGGGUUUGUAAAUACAUAGUCAUUAGGUAAGAAAAUGAAGCUAUGUUUUGGCCAUACAAGUUCUCGGUUUUAAGUCCUAGACUCCAUACAGCGGCUCCAUACAAAAGCUAUCUUCACACAUUUUCUUUACAUAUAUUUUACUCUUCUCAUAUUUACUAAUUUAGACAUCAAAUAAUCUUCUAUUUUGAUAAAUAACUGGGUUUUUAAGUGAACACCUGUUGAACCAAGGUCAAAACCAGUUAAUAGUCCAGAGAAACAGUUUUGGAAAGCCUAAUUCCCGUUCGAUGAUUUCACGAUUCCAUCAAUUACUUAUCAACAAUUUUUAAUUAAAUUUAACAAAAUUAAUUAAGGGGAUUUUUGAGAAAAUCUUUGUCGAUAUACAAUCAUCGAUCUUUUGAUCAAAUUUUGAAGUCUACCUAUGAUCAUCAGCAGCUACGACAAAGUGGAAGAUUCGACUUCACCAUUGACAUACAUAAAGAUUUUUUAUUACUAGAAACCUGAGUUUCUGUAGAUAUAUUAAAUGAAGUUAUAUUUACCACUCCAUAUAUAUAUAUAUACAAAACAUUAAUUCUAAACUCAUGAAUGAGCAUGUCUUGUCAUCACUAGGCUAUGAUAAUAUAAAAUUUAAGGUUCGAUCUGCCCAUCCUAGAUGAAUAAUCAAGCAGCUAGUACUUACAGCUCCUAUCUGGUAAUGUCAUUGAUCGAGCCAAUUUUCUGUACCAGAGAAGUUCAAGGCAAUAAAUCUCUCAACUACCGAUAUAAUUGCCAUAAAUAUUUAGGGAAUCAUUUCAUGAGUUAAUGCUUCAACCCAUAUUUGUUAAACUCAAUUGACGGGUUAAUUUAGAAAAUUUAUAAUUCAAAACUUGACAUGGAUUGUGUUUUAAAUUAAUAAAAAAGACGAUAACUUGUGAAACUCAGUUCACAUAUCGAGUAUUGGAUCAACUUGACAAUUACCUUUUAUGGAAGAGCCUAGGCAUAUAUGGCCAUGGGUUGUAAGACUCUCCACCACAUUUUUACAAGUGUUUGAGGCCCAUUACUGGUCAUUCGGCUAAGAAACACACAUGAAAUCCUAUAGAAUGUACCCAAAAAAGAGCCUCCAAUAUACACACACACACAUUCUCAGACAGCUGAAAGCAGCAUUUGUUGCCAGCACGAGGCUUGAGCAACAGUCCUACAGCCAGCAAAAUUGACUUUUUUUUUCUUCAGGUAAAUUCCUUUGCUUCUCUUCUUAUCGAUGUUAAUGAUAAUCUUGUGUUAUAUCAUAUGUUGUUUCUCUGUCUGCUAAAUUCAGUUACAUCUAUUGUGGUUUGGAAUUUGUAGAUACUAAAGAUGUUAGUUUAUCCUGGCAACUAUAUAUGUUGGGGUUUAGAUCAACAAAGUAAUGAUGAAAGUGUUUGUGGGUUCGAUUCAAUAAAGAAGAUUUAGAAGGACCAAGUUGGUGAUGUAGGAGGACUGUUACUGCUUUAGGCAAUGGAAAGAAAUGCAUGAUCUAUUGAAGUGUGUUUCUAAUAAGAAGAAAAUUAUUAGUGUUUGAUUGAUGCAUGCAUGAUCAGAUGGAGGGUUGGAGAUCAGGUAUUAGUUCAUAACAGGGGGACUUGUUGUAGCUUCGUUUUCAAAGCUGCUACUAGGGAGCUCCAGUGGGAUUUUGAGCUGGGGUUUGAUGGGGUAUUUGAAGACGGGGAUCUUUUUUCUAGCUGUUUUAGGUCAGUACAGUAGAUUGGUGAAUAUUUCUUAGAGCGAGAUUGGUUGAAGGGCGUGUCAAUAGGUGCAUGGGAGGGAUGGAGCUGGCUCUUGGAAAAGCACCGGUAGUUAUUGGAAAGUCUUUCAUCUGAGGUCGGUGAUGGGUGAAGCAACUUGUUGCGACAAGUGUUUGAUGUGGUGAAGAAGAAAAGGGAAUUCAUAUUUAGUUAUAUUGAGGGCGAAGGGUGGAUGACAUCAUGGGAUUUGACAUUCAAAGGAUUUCUUUCAGCCAAUAUGAAGUGUGUUGAUAAUAAGUAGUGAAAAGUUCUAGGUGGAUUUCGGCGUAUCUAAGACCCAAGCAUUUCUCACUUCUGCAUAUUUAAGGAUGCUGAAAACAAUGGCCAUUAGACCUCAUUUCUCUUUCCAUCUUCCCAUUUUCUUAGUUUUUCUCUUAUUGUAAUCGGUGUUCAAUGAAGUUUUCUAAAAACUUGGUUUCCUUCUUGUUUCCAUUAACCAAUUUCCACCUGAUCUGGCUUAAGCAGUAGUUUCUAAUGAAUUCUCAAUGUUUAGCAGAAAUUAUGCUUGCUUGUUGGAUAUUAUACAUAAACACUCAUACUUUGUCCCGCCAUCAUUAUUUGUAAGCUUAUAAACAAUUUCAUAUAAUUUGAAUCAGCCUCCUUCCCCUUAGCUACUCAAUCAUAAUGUAAUUUCAAGUGAAAGCAAAUUCCAUGUUCUCACAAUAUGGCUCAUACCUGCAUUUCUCAGGAGAGAGUAUUUCAGCUGACACAUUUUUCAGUCUGGGGACUCUAUUUCUGAAUACUUGCUAUCCCAUCGCUAACUGCUAUGCAUUGUUUGCAUAUUUGUUAAUUGAUUGCAGCCACCAGAUUCAUCCAGGAGAAGCCACCAUUUCCAACCAGUGCUUUCGUGAAUGGAAUCAGAUAUGGUAAUGCAUUAUGGAGGAUGUCAUUGCAGGAGAGUAAGGUGGCGAGUCCAAGCACCAAGUAGUGUUGUAGCUUUGAACUGCAACUGUUCUAUUUGUUCCAUGAGGGCUAGCAUUCAGUUCAUUGUCCCUUCUGAAAAGUUUGAGCUUCUAGGAGAUUCCAAAGAAUUUCUUACAACCUACACUUUUGGCACGCAUACAGCGAAGCACACAUUCUGUAAGUUCUGUGGCAUAACUUCAUUUUACGUUCCACGAGCAAAUCCAGAUGGGUUUUCAAUUACUUUAAGAUGUGUUGACCCUGGGACUCUCACUCAUGUUGAGAUUAAGAACUUUGAUGGGCAGAAUUGGGAAAGGUCAUACAAUCAGGCAUUUGCUUCAUCCUCUCAAGGUGCUGGCUGCUGAAGUGUCGUUCUUUCUACCACCACUCUCCUCGCCUUCCCUCCCUAAAGUAGUACAAUAUUAUGGAAAAACCUUUGUGAUAUCGCUCUUUGGAACAUUCUCAAAGUUGGAAAAUAAAAUUAGCAAUGUUAGCUAAUUGAUUGGUUAUACGUGUAGCUAAUUGAUUGGUUACUUGUGCUAUUGACUUUGUUCAUGUUUUAAUAAAGACUUUCUUCAUCCUUAAUGAGGUACAAGCCUGAGCGCUUACAAAUUUCAGAUUUGAAGGAAGUUCCCCGAGUGAUUGAAGCCUCUUGCAAUCAUCCAAAUAUAGAUAUUCAAGAUUGGAAAGUUCAUGGAUAGUUGCAGGUAGGCUAGUAAAGUUGUUGCCACUCACGUUUAAUACACUUAAUGAAGUUAAGCAGCUGAAAUCACCGGGAAUUGAUUCUUCCUGUAGAUUGCAGUUACUUAAAUCCAACGCUAUAAAAGAGCAUAAUCCUGAGAAUGAAUUCAAUGACAAACUCAAGGAAUUUGUCCUUUUUUCCCGAAACGAGGAUAAAAACAUCAUCCGUGUCUUAAGCAGCUGUCCUUUACAUCCACGAAGAGAUAGCUUUUUAAGCUUUCUGACGAGAGAGAAGGAAGAUGGUGGCUGUCUUCUAAUAGCAGUUCCACUUAUAUCAAGCUCCUCCAAACUUUCUGCAUGACCCAAUUCCUCCAGCCUAUAAAGUUUUCAACAUCCAGAUAAGUCGAAAGUUUCAAGGGCUUUUAAACCAUAUGCACUCUUAGGAAGACUUGCAAGCUUUUUGCUGUCAUUCAGGUUUAAUAAAACGAGGCUUUCGAGAACUCCAACUGAUUGGUCAAUCUCAUGCAAUUUUGUGUAACCUUAAAGAAUCAGCUUCUCAAGAUUUCGGACCUCUCUAAAAUCCGGUGUCUUACAAGAUCGAGGGAGUAACUGAGAUUGAUGAGUUUCAUCUUGUUAAAAUUCUGUUAAGAAGCCGAAGGAAACACUGAAAACCAGUUUCCAUGAACUUUUCCCUUUUUUUUGGUUUAACAAAUGAAACAUACGUAAGUGGUAAUCAUGCCUGCUCUCCCUUCCAUAGUUGUUCAACUUGGCUAUAACUCAAAUCCAUAAGUUCCUCUGGAUGAAAACUCAAUGGCAACGUUUUGAAAGGAUAUUCAUCCCAUUUGAGAAUCCGUAACUCAUUAGAAAGAUAUUGGAGGCUAUGUGUAACAGUGUCAAAUGUGCAUGGGAUGCACACUUCGGCAGGCUGUCCAAAACAGGGCCUAAGGGUGCUGGCAGCCAUGCCAACAGUGGGAAAAAUCGGCAGCGCAGAUUUAUGCGGCUGUAGGUUCGUCAAAGGAAAAUCGGCAGCGCAGAUUGCAUGAGCUUGACGAUGGAAUGUCCAAGUCAGGCAGGAAAACUCGUCAGGGGCAUAGGCUGACGAGAACAGGGGCUGUCGAGGGAUUCGGCAGCGAAGACAUUGGCAGCCUGCACGCAGAUGCGAAUUCGGCAGCGCGCAACAGCUUGUGCAAGUCAGGGGCUCGACUUGGCACGAUCAAAAAGUUGGACGAAGGACUGUCCAAGGCAUACGAAUGACUCAACGGCUGACGCAGCAAGAGCUGGCAGAUGGGGCUGCCAGGUGGGCAUGCAGAACGUGGGUUAGUGGCUGUUAUGGGCAUCCAAGAUCAUGGGAUCAUGGGACAUGUGCUGGAGAACGUGGGGGCAUGGCUGGAAGUGCUCUCAACCCACUAAGAUCAUGGGAGAUCAUGGGGAGAAAACUACCCACUACUUGGUAGAUAAUGGGGCCACUAUGUUCAUGGGUGAACAUGGGUGAGAUAGUGUCCCACUACUUCCUAAAAUGUAGGAAUGAAAGUUGUGCCUUGUAAAUGCUUGUCUAUAAAUAGUGGCUGCAGCUCUUGGUUAUGUAUGCAUGUAGAGCACAAGAUUAGAGAGAGUAGCUUGGUGUAGCAUGCAAUCUUUGUGCAUAGCACACAUACAGAUUUGUGUAAAGUUUUCUUUGUUUACGAGAUCAAUAAAGGUUGGGAAAGAGUUCCUAUAAAGCUUGUUGUGCACUUUGUUUAUCCUAUUCUUCUUGUGUAUUCCGCUUGUCUUCUAACUUGGGUGAGGGAAACACUUAGUUACUAGGCAAACACGAGUGGGAUUGGCGAGGGAAGGCUGAGUCUAGCGAGGGACUAGGCUGCCGCACGGGUAUAUUCGCGGAGCAAAAAAUUACCCCGUGACACUAUGGGAGAAGCGCGCAUUACGAAUAUGAGCAACAAUCUUAGUUUUGUCAUCUUCGAGAAUGAUAGAGCACUUAAUUGUGCCCCUGCUGGUCUUGGUAAGUAUAGGGAUAUGCCUUCAACAUCCUCUGUUCCCUGACAAAGAGGCAAAUUAGCACAAGGAAAAUUGAAGAAUCUAAAGAAAACCAAACACAGCUAUCCAGUUUGAAGAAAGAGUUUUUUCACAGGGUAUCAUACUGUAUUUUUUGUCAAGACAUGAUCAAUAUCCUUAUAAGGCCAUAGCCUCCUGCGUUUUCCUGGUUCCUCUGGAGAUUCUUGCCGAACAAGCUUCCAGCCCAUUUGUUGAAGCAAAUCGUGCAUCCAUAGAGUGUUGUUAUUUGAAACAGUUAUGAGAGAUUUAUCGAUGAGAACUCUUAUUCCAAUAUCCGGGUAGACACCACAGCUGUCCCCCAUUUUUGCUAUGUGAUCUCUGUCGUUUCCCUUAAAAAAACAUGCUAUAUCCAGGAAUAUUUUCUUUUCUGUUUCCUCGAGUCCAUCAAAACUUUUUUGAAGUGUAUCCAGAAUUUCUUUGUCAGGAUUUUCUUUCAUUCUAUCUAAUGCACUUUUCCAUUCUUUUAAAGUCUUGUCAAACAAAAGGAACCCAAUAUUUCAAGAGCUAAUGGAUGGCCAUUCGCAUGAUCUAUAACCAAAGUUGACGGUGUCAUAUACUCUUCUGGAGGAUGGUUAGUUUUGAAGGCUUUCAAACUAAAAAGCUGGAGUUUUUCAUCAUCAUUUAAUCCCCCAGACUUGUAUAUUUUAUCCACCCGAUGCCUGACAAGCACAUUUAUAUCCCUAGUUGUUAUGAUGAUUCUACUCCCUAAACCAAACCAAUCACGCUUUCCAGCCAAUUUUUCUAAUUGGUUCAAAUGGUCCGCAUCAUCCAUCAACAACUAUCAAAACACGUUGACGUCGCAUCCUAGUAUUCAUCAUCUCGGUUCCAUGAUACACAUUCCAUAUUUUCACAUUUUCUGCCUUAAGGAUUUCGCAAAGAACUUGUUCUUGUAAAGUUAGCAUGCCACCUUUUGAUGAAACUUCCCUAACAUUAGCUAGAAAGGUGCUACCCUCAAAUCGGGGUGACGUUCGAUUGUAGUAAGCUCGUGCAAGAGUUGUCUUUCCUAUUCCUCCCAUCCCACAAAUUCCUAUGAUGCGAACAUCAUUAGACCCUAGAUCCAUAUAAGAGCCCAGCUUAACCAAACGUCUAUUCAUUAUAGUAGAUGAUAAUACAGGGCUCAGUAUACUCAGUAUGCUUUGCACAAUAUCUUGUAUAAAGUUUGAUUCAUGCCUAUAAAGUGGAAGGAUGAAUAAGAAAGUUUCGAGUCGUAAUAAACUAUGAAGGAAAAAAAAUAAAUCAGUGUUCGCUGCAUAUUACAAUUAAAAAAAAUGGCAUAUGACAUCAUGUGUCAUACUUAGAAGAAGGGGAGGUCAUGUUAAUGCAGAAAAUAUAAGCGUGCAUCUCUUAGUGCAAAGAUUUAUACAGACAUGUACUAUUUAAAGGAUAGACAGAAGGGCUUAAACUUAUAAAAUUCUGGAAAUUUUUGCAGUAACUGAUAUCUGCCAAAGUUUGAGUCUUUCCCAGCUGAAAUUGUAGUUCUGAUAUUUGUGAUUGUUUGAAAAUGAUUUGGCUUUUAAGCAAACUCAGUGAAUUUUGUUACAGUUUCUUUUUUAGACAGAUGGCUAAAUAUAGAUAGAUAAACUGAAAGAGAAAGAGUUGCAUUCAACAUCUGCUUGUUUUUCAAAGUCAAUGACUGCUGGGCUGCUGGCCAUGUUGAAAAUGUUAUAUAUACUUUUGAAAAAUCAAAUGAAAAUUGUUGUUUAAAGUAUUUUUUAUUUUAAAAUAUAUUAAAGUAAUUUGUUUUAUUUUUAAAAUUUUAAUUUUGAUAUCAGUAUAAUAAAAAUAAAUAAUUUAUAAUAAAAAAAUUAAAAUUUUAUAAAAAAAUGUUAUAAUCGCAAAACAAACAAUCAUAUAGAUUAUAUUUUUUUAAAAAGACUUUAAAAAUAAAUGCAACCAGAAAAAAAUUAAGCAUGUAUAUCUUUGCCUUAAUUUUCCUUUUCUAAAUAUCGUUUAGUGACAAAAUUUACCAUGUAAAAUGCCCUCCAACUUUUAUUCUUUCUUUGUGCCCAUGCUUAUUUCAUUUUAAGUGAUUUUUAGAAUGUUUUUUUGAUAGAAAAACAUCUCAAAAUAAAAUUUAAUUGAUAUCUUUUCAACUCAAACAUGUAUUUGUUAUCAGUGAAAAUGGUGAGAAAUUCAAGGAAAGUGUAAUGCUUCUUUACCAUCAAAACUCAAAGCCAUGCUAUGAGUUCAGAACUUCAUCAGAUGUACUGAUUUAAAAUAUUGGCUUUCAUUGUUACAUGACUGAAGAUGAAAGUCUUUAGAAGUUCACAUUACUUGCAGGUCUAACUAGGUUGGUGCCUCUCAGACCUUUUAAAUAGAGAAAAAAUAAAGAGGGGAUAAAAACAAAAAUGACGAUCAUACCUUUAUCCCCUCCAAAGUCGUUCAACUUUGCUACAGCACGUAUCAAGUUUAAUAAGUUCCUCUGAAUGGACAAUGGCAAGUUCUUGAAAGGAUAUUCAUGCCAUUUGAGAAUCUGUGACUCAUUACAAAGCUAUUAAAGUCUACACACAUUAGGGAAUACUGAUGAUCUUAAUGUGCAUGUCCUGUUGCUGGUAAUUCUGGGUUUAUCUCUUCAAUAUCUUCUGUUCCCUAACAAUUAAACAUACAAUUCCAACAAGCUAAGAAUGCAAGGAAUGGUUUUAUGUGAUGUCUCUCAGUGUAUUUCAUGUCUAGGCAAGGCAGAUAUCCUUACAGAGCCAUAGCCUCGGAAAUCUCUUACGAUUUUCCUGGCUCCUUGGAAAUUCUUGUCGAGCAAGUUCUUAAAACAAAUCUUGCAUCGAUAAUCAGCUGUUUUCCUUAAAGUUGGUCGAGACAUUUACCAAUGAGAACUUGUCCCAAUAACUGGCAAGAAACCUCAGGUGACACACAUUUCUGUUGUAUUCAGCUUUGUGCUUUCCCUUAAAAAACAUGCAAUAUCUGUGAAAAUUUUCUUUCCAUACCCUCUAAUCCAUUAAAACUUGUUGACUUUUAUCCAAGAGUUCUUUUCCUGGAUUUUCUUUCAUUCUUGCUAGAGCGGGACUUAAACAUCCAUGAGUCAAUGAUAUAAGGAUUGAUUUGCAAGGAAUUUUAAUAUAGAGGUUAAAAUGAUUAACAUUUAGAACUUGGAGGAUCACAAAAGUAAUUUGCUUUAAAAAAGGUUGAUUGCAUGGAGCUGUCCUUUCUUUUCAUUGCAUUCCAAGAUUGUCAAUUAUGUUUGUUUUAUUUAGAAUGACUGAUAUAUCUCAUUUCAAUUUAAAAAAUAAAAUAAAUUAGAAUAAAUUUUAUUUUGUUCAAAAUCUUGUCCUGUUCUAGAAAUUUCGUUUAAAUUCCAGUUGAAGUGUUCUGGUUCUAUUCUGCAUGUUAUUUUCCUGUCAAAUAAUAUUUUUUUUGGUUUUUUAUUUUUUUAAAAAUGUUACAGUUUUAUGAUGUCAAUCAUAUUUACAACCCGGUAAUCAUCAAAUGAUGAAUGGAGUGAACUUUGCAUCUGCAGGAACUGGUGCCCUUGUGGAAACUCAUCAAGGAAAAGUACAUGAUCUUAUUGAUUAAGCCCUUCUUUUUGUGUGUGUUUUAGCUUAGGCUUCUUGUUCAUCACAGCUAAAUAGUCCGUAGAAUUUGCUUAUUGGUGCAAAUCCAGCAUUAUUAACUUGGUCUGCAUCUUAAUAUUGUUCUCAUUUGUUCCCAUUCAUUGAAAAGGUGAUAGACCUUAAAACACAAUUACGUUAUUUUAAGGAAGUGGAGAAGCUACCAAGGCAGAAAUUAAGCGAUGAAGUAGCUAAGACAUUGGUGUCCUCUGCUCUUUACUUGUUCAGCAUUGGAAGCAAUGACUACUUUGUACCUUUCAUUACAAACCCCACUGCGCUUCAAUCCUACAACAGAAACGAGUACAUCAGGAUGGUUAUCGGCAACCUGACAUCUGGUAUCCAAGUGAUAUGUUAAUAACCUAAACAUUCUUUCUGUUUUUCAAAUCGAUCAUAGUCUAUAUAUGGUUUCGCUUUACUGUUCCAGGAAAUAUAUAAGGAGGGAUGAAAUUUCAAUCUUGGCUGCAUCGUGCCGUUUUCCUUCCUGAGAGCACUUAAACGAACUAGAACAAGAAGUUCAGGCUGCAUGGAUGAAGUUGCAGUUCUGACAAAGCUACACAAUAGAGAACUCUCUAAGGUCCUUAAAAAGCUUGAGAGACAGUUUAAUGGAUUUAAGUAUUCAAAUUUUGAUUUCUAUACUUCACAUAGUGAAAGAAUAAAUCAUCCCACCAAAUAUGGUAUGUUUUUAUCUACAUGUCAAUUCAGAAUUUCCUGCUUGUGUUUCUCAAGUAACAAGUCUAUCCUAACUGUCAAGUUCAGGGUAUGACUUGUUUCUAAUCCUUCUAUACCUAUUUUAGGUUUUGAUUGUUGCAACUUGAAUGUGAAGAUUUUGAGAUAAAAGUGGCAUGUUGUGGCGCUAGUCCGUAGUGAGGUUCCAAGUGUGGUCUGAACAAGUUCGAAUUAUGCGAUAAUGCGAGUGAAUAUCUCUUCUUUGAUGGAAUUCAUCCAGCAGAUGAGGUUCAUAAUCAAUUUGCAAAGUUGUUGUGGAGUGGAAAUCCUGAUGUUGGAGGGCCUUACAGUGUCAAAACACUGUUUGAGGAAUAGCAUAAAUGAUAAAACAAGAUGUACUUUUUUCCAGAUGCUGUAUUAGUUAACCCAGAAGCCAAAGAAUACUUGCUUCUCUUUAUUCUAUCUUGACUUGGAAGAAAUGACAUUAGAGGUGAAAGCAGAGUUCUGUUCUUGAGUGGAACACUCACAGGAAUUAGAAAGAUCAUAUCUUGGUUUAGUAAUGCACUAAUUUACGAUGUAUCUGAUCAGCUCCUCAAAAUUCAAGAACCCUCUAAAAUCUAAAUCUGGUCCUUCUGAAAAGAUUCCGGGAGUGGCACAGACUUGAUAAUUUUCAACUUUAAAUUCCUGCUCAGAAUGAUAAGGAAAUACUUGACAUCUUAAAGCUUUCUGAAAGAAGAGAUGCUUAAAAUUCUGUUGGAUGUGUGGAAACAAUUGCUGGACCAGAAUGCCAUCAACACGGGUAUUUCUUCACGUACAAAAUUGCACUUAUCGAUUAUGACCUCUUUGAGAGCUCACAAGACCAACACCCUACCGGCAAGAAACUAAACAAUUGUAGUCCUUUAAGGUUUGGUUCAACUUCACAAGUUUGAAAUUAAUGAAUAAGUUCUUUACAACCUCACGCAGAGAAGCCAUCGGCAAUAGACUCUCUACGAGUAACAAAGGACCAAAGCCAACGACACCUAGAUUUAUCAGCAAAUAUGAGCAAUAAAGUAUGAUCUACCUGUGUCUCAUUCCACUGCAGAAAGUACUGCAGUCAGCUACAGACUGAUUAAAGACAUCAAAGGUAGCUGUAGAAGCUCUCUUGUAAUGAAGCAGCAAAUUGUUAAACCUUAAUUCUGAAGCAGCUUUACAAAAGUUAAAUCAAACAAUAUGUUCAAGAACUAGUGAUAUAGAAGUCUUAGUUCAAGGACUACUAGCAUUUUGACCCAUAGUUCAAGAGUGUUAUGUACCUUUUAGCCUUUAAUUUAUCAGCCUCGUUACAUUGUUGGUGUGGCCUUUCGUUUGUAUUUUUCUCAUGUUCUGUUGGUAUGCUCGACUGGAAAUGAAGCUGAACUUCUUCAUAUUCUUAGGCUUUGGAAAUCAGCCUCAACCUGUCCUCUUUUGAGUUUUGUUUUGGCUUUAGAUUUUGUCAGGCAUUGGUCUACUAAGCAAUGUUGUUGUCAUAAAAUGGUGAUUUGAAGUAUUUUGUAGGCUAGUCUUGAUAUGGCUACCUCUUGUAGUCUCAGGCCACUUAGAAGAUCUAUUGUAAUUUUCUCUGUAGUGUCAAUAUUAUCAAUGAUCCAAUAAAAAAGGGACAUGUCAAUAUUAUCAUUGAUCCAAAAACAAAAGGGACAUGUCAAUAUUAUCAAUUUAUCAAGGUUGGACAUUGGCAGCUUGGACUAAUCAUUGAUAUCCAUGUUAAGUAAAAGCACAGACGACCAAAGGAAUGGGAAGCGAUAGAAAUAUAUUGAAAACUUGAAUAAACAGAAAACAAAAACACCAAUGCUGAGUAGCCAUGGUGGGAUUUAUAUGCAUACAUAUAUUGAUGGAAAGUAGUGAACAUAUGUUGAUAUAUAACAUGCAUAUAGGGUUAAGGUCCCUGCAGCUUCACUGAGAAUCCAUUCAUUUCCAGGAUGAAUGAAGCAAAUUUCAUUAAUCAAAGAACCGAGUAGAAGAAAACUGAUCCCAAUAGCAGCAAUUUAUCAAGACUUUUUAGAAUUUUGGAGUAAAUUUGUAUUUUUUCAGCAAUUUAUCUUAGAUACGAGGCAGCUGUUAAAUUCCAAUUCUAUUGCCUUUCAAUCAAUUAUAUACAAACUGAUGCUUUAAGUCAAUGAUUUCAUACACAGUAGCAGAUUAAAAACACACACUGUACGUUCAUGUCCAUCUUCAAAAUCCUACUAUAAGAAUAGGUUACCGAGCCUCAACAAAUUUUGGGUGCUUCAGAACAUCAAAGCAUCACAGUGUUGGUAUGUCUGACUAAAUUCAAUCACAAAUAAUGAUACCCUAAACUCUCUAUCUCUUAACUUGAGAAACUCGGGAAUUAAUGUCCACAUAUGCAGCACUAUACAGUUCAAUGGCUAAACAUAAUUUAAAUUCAUCUUCUUUACCAAUCAUUCUUGGUUAACUCGCAAAGGAGGUUUGCCGCAUGCAUGCAUCCACCUCUCCAGAUCCAUUAGGUAAUGCAGAAGAAAGACAUUUAAGGACAUUAGUGCUUACCUAAGCAUGUCUCCAGACUGUAAUUUUGGUCCACUCAAUACUGGUGAGAUGCUGAAAUUAUUGCCAUCAGCUUGGAACGAAGGGUGCCCAAGAGGCACUGGUCGAUCUGGAAUCUGUGGAACUUCAAUAUCUCCUUCUAACAUUUUCAGCGCAUCCAGAAUGGUUGGCCUUAGAGCCACCAUUAUAUGAGCACACAAAAUCCCAACCAGCACAAACCUUUCCAUUGUCCCCUUCGGAUUUGAGUUUGAAGAAUCACCACCUCUCAACAAAGAAGCAUCCAAAGCCUGUUCCACUUUUCCAGCUUUCACCAAUGACCAGGCCCAGUCUGUGAUCAACAACGCACGAGGUGACCCUGAAGAAGACAAAUCAAGAGCUUUUCUCCCACACAUUAUCUCCAAAACAACCACCCCAAAGCUAUAAACAUCGCUCUUCUCAGUCAGUUGACCAUAAAGAGCAUAUUCGGGUGCUAAGUACCAAUGAGUUCCAGCCACUCUUGUAGUAAGAUGAGACUGCCCUUCCCUACUUUGCUUUGCCAACCCAAAAUCGGCAACUCUUGCUCUCAUAUCAGCAUCUAACAAUAUAUUUGUCCCCUUGAUAUCUCUAUGAUAUAUUCCAGGCUUGACUCCAUAGUGCAAAUAAGCUAAUCCCCUUGCCACAUCCAAAAUUAUGCUCUUUCUUUGAGGCCAACUUAACAAUUGCUUUUGAAUUUGAUUAACCGAUGAUGGAAAUAAAUGGUCAUCAAGAUUCCCAUUUGACAUGUAAUCACAAACAAGAUACCUCUGAUUGCCUCUCUCAUCAGAAUUUACAUCAUCGUCAAUCACACAGCACCCUCUGAGUGGCACCAAAUUCCUGUGCUUCAAGUUGCUAAUAAUCUCAACCUCAUUGCAAAACUCUGCAUCACCUUUAAAAUCAGAUUCUAUAACCCUUUUAACAGCCACCACAGUCCCAUCAGAUAAAACCCCCUUGUAAACAAAACCAAACCCGCCUCUCCCAAUAAAAUUCUUCUGCGAGAAAUUGUCUGUUGCCUUCUCAAGAUCCUGAAUUUUAAACCAAAUUGACCCUGUAUUCGGCCUCAGUUUAGGCCUAGACCCUUGUUGUUCAUCUAGUCAAAACCAAAGCCUAGAUUCUUUUUCCUUCUCCAUUUCUUAUCAUACCAAAGAUACAAUCCUAACAAACUAGAGAUUACGAAAAUAGCAACACCAGCACAAGUCAAGCCAAAAACAAGAGCAGAAUGAGAAUUGCUAGCUGAACCAACACUUGAAUUCAAUUCCAAACCAAAUAUACAUGAAACAACACCAUCACUUUCAGGACCAAACUCGUUAACAAUACCAGCAGCAUAAAGAACAGCAAAGUAAAAACAAUCUUGAGCAUGAGUUUGAUUACCAUCAGCAUACACCAACAACGACUGUACUGUAAAACCAGCUCUAAGACAAGAAGCACAAGCUGUUUUUACUUUGCUCAUAGAUGGAGUAUCCUUCUAACACCGCUCCUGUAUUACCGGUCAUGAACCCGGGAUUCGGGUCGUGAUAGUUGGUGUGGCCUUUCGUUUUUAUUUUUCUCAUGUUCUGUUCGUAUGCUCGACUGGAAAUGAAGGUGAACUUCUUCCUAUUCUUAGGCUUUGGAAAUCAGCCUCAACCUGUCCUCUUUUGUGUUCUGCUUUGGCUUUAGAUUUUUUCAGGCAUUGGUCUACUAAGCAAUGUUGUUUUCAUAAAAUGGUGAUUUGAAGUAUUUUGUAGGCUAGUCUUGAUAUGGCUACCUCUUGUAGUCUCAGGCCACUUAGAAGAUCUAUUGUCAUUUUCUCUGUAGUGUCAAUAUUAUCAUUGAUCCAAAAACAAAAGGGACAUGUCAAUAUUAUCAAUUUAUCAAGGUUGGACAUUGGCAGCUUGGACUAAUCAUUGAUAUCCAUGUUAAGUAAAAGCACAGACGACCAAAGGAAUGGGAAGUGAUAGAAAUAUAUUGAAAACUUGAAUAAACAGAAAACAAAAACACCAAUGCUGAGUAGCCAUGGUGGGAUUUAUAUGCAUAAAUUUAAUAUUGAUGGAAAGUAGGGAACAUAUGUUGAUAUAUAACAUGUAUAUAGGGUUAAGGUCCCUGCAGCUUGACUGAGAAUUCAUUCAUUUCCUGGAAGAAUGAACCAAAUUUCAUUAAUCAAAGAACCGAGUAGAAGAAACCUGAUCCCAAUAGCAGCAAUUUAUCUAGACUUUUUGGAAUUUUGGGGUAAAUUUGUAUUUUUUCAGCAAUUUAUCUUAGAUACGAGGCAGAGGUUAAAUUCCAAUUCACAGUAGCAGAUUAAAAACACACACUGUACGUUCAUGUCCAUCUUCAAAAUUCUACUAAGAAUAGGUUACCAAGCCUCGACAAAUUUUGGGAGCUUCAGAACAUCAAAGCAUCACAGUGUUGGUAAGUCUGACGAACUUCUAUCACAACUAAUGAUACCCUAAACUCUCUACCUCUUAACUUGAGAAACUCAGGAAUUAAUCUCCACAUACUGAGCACUAUACAGUUCAAUGGUUCAACAUACUUUAAAUUCAUCUUCUUUACCAAUCAUUCUUGGAUAUGCAGGUUAACUCGCGAAAGAGGUCUGCCGCAUGCAUGCACCCACCUCUCUAGAUCCAUUAGGUAAUGCAGAAGAAAGACAUUUAAGGACAUUAGUGCUUACCUAAGCAUGUCACCAGGCUGUAAUUUUGGUCCACUCAAUACUGGUGGACUAUUUUGAUAAAUAACUGGGUUUUUAAGUGAACACCUGUUGAACCACGGUCAAAACCAGUCAAUAGUCCAGAGAAACAGUUUUGGAAAGCCUAAUUCCCGUUCGAUGAUUUCACGAUUCCAUCAAUCACUUAUCAACAAUUUUUAAUUAAAUUUAACAAAAUUAAUUAAGGGGAUUUUUGAGAAAAUCUUUGUCGAUAUACAAUCAUCGAUCUUUUGAUCAAAUUUUGAAGUCUACCUAUGAUCAUCAGCAGCUACGACAAAGUGGAAGAUUCGACUUCACCAUUGACAUAUAUAAAGAUUUUUUAUUACUAGAAACCUGGGUUUCUGUAGAGAUAUUAAAUGAAGUUAUAUUUACCACUUGACAAUUACCUUUUAUGGAAGAGCCUAGGCAUAUAUGGCCAUGGGUUGUAAGACUCUCCACCACAUUUUUACAAGUGUUUUAGGCCCAUUAUUGGUCAUUCGGCUAAGAAACACACAUGAAAUCCUAUAAAAUGUACCCAAAAAAGAGCCUCAAAUAUACACACACACAUUCUCAGACAGCUGAAAGCAGCAUUUGUUGCCAGCACGAGGCUUGAGCAACAGUCCUACAGCCAGCAAAAUUGACUUUUUUUUUCUUCAGGUAAAUCUCUUUGCUUCUCUUCUUAUCGAUGUUAAUGAUAAUCUUCUGUUAUAUUAUAUGUUGUUUCUCUGUCUGCUAAAUUCAGUUACAUCUAUUGUGGUUUGGAAUUUAUAGAUACUAAAGAUGUUAGUUUAUCCUGGCAACUAUAUAUGUUGGAGUUUAGAUCAACAAAGUACUGAGAAAGUGUUUGUGGGUUCGAUUCAAUAAAGAAGAUUUAGAAGGACCAAGUUGGUGAUAUAGGAGGACUGUUACUGCUUUAGGCAAUGGAAAGAAAUGCAUGAUCUAUUGACAUGUGUUUCUAAUAAGAAGAAAAGGAUUAGUGUUUGAUUGAUGCAUGUAUGAUCUAUUGACAUGUGUUCAUAACAGGGGGACUUUUUGUAGCUUCGGUUUCAAAGCUGCUACUAGGGAUCUCCGGUGGAAUUUUGAGCUGGGGUUUGAUGGGGUAUUUGAAGACGGGGAUCUUUUUUCUUGCUGUUUUAGGUCAGUACAGUAGAUUGGUGAUUAUUUCUUAGAGCGAGAUUGGUUGAAGGGCGUGUCAAUAGGUGCAUGGGAGGGAUGGAGCUGGCUCUUGGAAAAGCACCAUUAGUGAUUGGAAAGUCUUUCAUCUGAGGUCGGAGAUGGGUGAAGGAACUUGUUGCGACAAGUGUUUGAUGUGGUGAAGAAGAAAAGGGUAUUGAUAUUUAGUUAUAUUGUGAACGAAAUAGACUGAAAUCUAAUGAAGCUAAUUGAUUUCUUUCGGCCAAUAUGAAGUGUGUUGAUAAUAGGUAUUGAAAAGUUCUAGGUGGUUUUCCGCGCAUCCAAGACCCAAGCAUUUCUCACUUCUGCAUAUUUAAGGAUGCUGAAAACAAUGCCCAUUAGACCUCAUUUUCUCUUUCCAUCUUCCCAUUUUCUUAGUUUUUCUCUUAUUGUAAUCGGUGUUCAAUGAAGUUUUCUAAAAACUUGGUUUCCUUCUUGUUUCCAUUUACCAAUUUCCACCUGAUCUGGCUUAAGCAGUUGUUUCUAAUGAAUUCUCAAUGUGUAGCAGAAAUUACGCUUGCUUGUUGGAUAUUAUACAUAAACACUUAAACUUUGUCCCGCCAUCAUUAUUUGUAAGCUUAUAAACAAUUUCAUAUCAUUUGAAUCGGCGUCCUUCCCCUUAGCUACUGAAUCGUAAUGUAAUUUCAAGUGAAAACAAAUUCCACACCUGCAUUUCUCAGGAGAGAGUAUUUCAGCUGACACAUUUUUCAGUCUGGGACUCUAUUUCUGAAUACUUGCUAUCCCAUCGCUGACUGCUAUGUAUUGUUUGCAUAUUUGUUUAUUGAUUGCAGCCACCAGAUUCAUCCAGGAGAAGCCACCAUUUCCAACCAGUGCUUUCGUGAAUGGAAUCAGACAUGGUUAUCCAUAAUGGAGGAUGUCAUUGCAGGAGAGUAAGGUGGCGAGUCCAAGCACCAAGUAGUGUUGUCGCUUGGAACUGCAACUGUUCUGAUUGUUCCAUGAGGGGAAACAUUCAGUUCAUUGUCCCUUCUGAAAAGUUUGAGCUUCUUGGAGAUUCCAAAGAAUUUCUUACAACCUACACUUUUGGCACACAUACAGCAAAGCACACAUUCUGUAAGUUCUGUGGCAUAACUUCGUUUUACGUUCCACGAUCACAUCCAGAUGGGGUUUCAAUUACUUGCAGAUGUGUUGACCCUGGGACUCUCACUCAUGUUGAGAUUAAGCACUUUGAUGGGCAGAAUUGGGAAAGGUCAUACAAUCAGACAUUUGCUUCAUGCUCUCAAGGUGCUGGCUGCUGAAGUGUCAUUCUUUCUACCACCACUCUGCUCUCCUUCCCUCCCUAAAGUAGUACAAUAUUAUGGAAAAACCUUUGUGAUAUCGCUCUUUGGAACAUUCUCAAGUUGGAAAAUAAAAUUAUCUAUGUUAGUUAGCUAAUUGAUUGGUAUAAGGGAUAUUACUUUUUUUCAUGGAAAUAUAUUUAAUUUUACUAAUGAUUUUAUUUGUCUAAAGUAAAGAUAAAAUUUUUAAAAUAAAAAUAUUUUAUAAAAAAAUUAUAAAGUUAUUAUAAUUAUGAGAUUUCUAUUAAUAAAUAUUUAUGAUUAAUGUUGUAUUAAAAUUAAACAUUAAUUAAAAUUUUUGAGAAUAAUAUAUAUUAUAUUUUUUUAUUUUAUUCUUUUAUUUUAUAAAAAAAUAAUUGUUUUUAUAAACUGAAUAAAUAUCUAAAACUAAUAUACAUGUUUUUUUUUUUAAUUUUGUUAUCAAUGCAUUCAUCAACAUCUUCUACUUACUUCGUAAAAUGUACUUCCAUUUGGAAUCGAUCAAAUGCAUAAUUGAACUGAGUAUGUUUAAGGUUAGGUUUUCAAGGAAAUAACAAUUUUAAUGAUUUUAGAAACCUCAACGUUGCUAAUCAAUAGAGCUUGAUAGACUACAUAAAGUUCCAUCAAGUCCAAAUGAAGUUGGAACAAAAGCUAACUCCUCGAACAACGUUGCUCUGCCUUUUCCACUGAUUCUGCUUCAUCAUUGUCAGAGCCAUCAUAGGUAAGAUACCAUCCAGUGCUGAUUUUCUCAAAUUCUUCACGUAGAAAAUUGAAAUUCAUAUUUGAGCUGAAAAAUCGGUCAAAUAUUGGGAAGAACUCUAGUGCAUCGUCCUUGUAAACGAAGCGAACGCCACACUUCUUCACAUGGAACUGUCCACUCAAGUCUAUGAGCUUAACUUCAAUGUAAUGCAUGUUCUUGGUUGUAUCCUGCCAAUCCAUAUCAAAUAAUGCACAACGAGGCAAAUAGAAGAGCCAUGUGUGAUCAACCUGGUUUUCUACAUAACCAUUUUCAAGUACAUAGGUGUGUGAGCAAAAGCCCUCUAUUUUUUUCUCGUUAUGGCUCCUGAUCACACUAGCACAAUGAAACUGAAUAUUGCAGAAGUUAGAAAAUGAAUGGUCACGGUUUACAUACACAGCAUAAAAAGCAAAUCCCACCCAAUUCCUAUCACGCCAAACUGGUGGCAGCUGUAUAGUUAUUGAGUAGCCCAAACUCUGAUAGUCGAACCACUUUGGAAUUUCACUUCCAUAAACAACAAUGUCAGAUCUAGGUGCUCCAUUAACCAGCUCUCGAAAUCUAAGAAAACCCUUUGGGAGUAAGUGACAAGAGUAAGCAAACGUGAGACAGUUACCGAAAUCAACCAGGCAUUUCAACGACAUGAGAAACUGAACGUGGCUAAGGCCUUGAUUCUCAACUAAAGAAAAGCUAUCGGCACGAUUUAACUCCGGAGUUUGCAAGCUGCACUGGUUCAAUGUCUCUGGUAACGUUUCCAAUGAGGUACAAGCCUGAGCACUUACAAAGUUCAGAUUUGAAGGAAGUGACUCGAGUGAUUGAAGCCUCUUGCAAUCAUCCAAAUAUAGAUAUUUAAGAUUGGAAAGUUCAUGGAUACUUGCAGGUGGGCUAGUAAAGUUGUUGCCACUCAUGUUUAAUACACUUAAUGAAGUUAAGCAGCAGAAAUCACUGGGAAUUGAUUCUUCCUGUAGAUUGCAGUUACUUAAAUCCAACGCUAUUAAAGAGCACAAUCCUGAGAAUGAAUUCAAUGACAAACUCAAGGAAUUGUCCUUUUUUCUCGAAACGAGGAUAAAAACAUCAUCCGAAUCUUACGCGGCUGUCCUUUGCAUCCACGAAGAGAUAGCUUUUUAAGCUUUCUGAAGCGAGAGAAGGAAAAUGGUGGUUGUCUAAUAGCAGUUCCACUUAUAUCAUGCUCCUCCAAACUUUCUGCAUGACCCAAUUCCUCCAGCAGUCCAGCCUAUCCUCAAGUUUUGAACAUCCAGAUAAGUUGAAAGUUUUGAGGGCUUUUAAACCAUAUAUACUCUUAGGAAGACUUGCAAGCUUUUUGCAGUCUUUCAGGUUUAAUAAAACGAGGCUUUCGAGAACUCCAACUGAUUGGUCAGUCUCACGCAAUUUUGUGCAACCUUCAAGAAUCAGCUUCUCAAGAUUUCGGACCUCUCUAAAACUGGUGUCUUGCAAGAUCGAGGGAGUGACUGAGAUUGAUGCCUUUCAUCUUGUUAAAAUUCUGUUAAGAAGCAGAAGGAAACACUGAAAACCAGUUUCCAUGAACUUUUCCCUUUUUUUUGGUUUAACAAAUGAAACAUACAUAAGUGGUAAUCAUACCUGCUUUCCCUUCCAUAGUUGUUCAACUUGAAUAUAACUAAAAUCAAGUUCGAUAAGUUCCUCUGGAUGAAAACUCAAUGGCAACGUUUUGAAAGGAUAUUCAUCCCAUUUGAGAAUCCGUAACUCAUUAGAAAGAUAUUCAAGGCUAUGGAAGAAGUGAACAUUACGAAAUAUGAGCAACAAUCUUAGUUUUGUCAUCUUGGAGAAUGAUAGAGCACUUAAUUGUGCCCCUGCUGGUCUUGGUAAGUAAAGGGACAUGCCUUCAACAUCCUCUGUUGCCUGACAAAGAGGCAAAUUAGCAAAAGGAAAACUGAAGAAUAUAAAGAAAACCAAACACAGUUAUACAGUUCCAAGAAAGAGUUUUUUCACAGGGUGUCAUGCUGUAUUUUUUGUCCAGACAUGAUCAAUAUGCUUAUAAAGCCAUAGCCCGGUGCGUUUUCCUGGUUCCUCUGGAGAUUCUUGCCGAACAAGCUUCCAACCCAUUUGUUGAAGCAAAUCGUGCAUCCAUAGAGUGUUGUUAUUUGAAACAGUUCUGGUGCAAUGGAUUUUCCCUAAUUUUUAAAAAUCUAACUAAAAUCCUUGAUCCCUCGAUUGCUUUCAAGAGUUCUGGUGCAAUGGAUUUUCCUCUCUUGAGGUUAAGGUCAUCCCUGAAGAUGAUAAUGCCUCUUUGAUGCAAUGCAGCAUACAAAUGGUCUGUGAAGUUCUUGCGAGUGUCCUCACCUCUGAAACUUAAGAAGACAUCAUAAUGCCAUCGAGCAUUUGAAAAAAGGAUGAGAAGGAAAUGAUGAAGAGGAAUCUUUGGCACUCAUGGAAGCCAUGUUCCUUAAAAGAACCAGGUUAAAGCCUUUGCUCAUGAAUAUAAAUUUCAAAUCAGAAGAAAGAGAGAGUACCAUAAAAUGAUAGUUACAUGCCAUUAUUGUUCUUCUCCACAUUACUUUGAGUGUGAGUUCUGUUGCAUGUAUAAUGCAAUAGGAAAGCAAAGAGUAGCGAAUGCAUUGUCAAAGGUCCUUUCUUUACAUUUUGAUACCUUGGAGAUAUCUUUAUCAUUAGCUAAUGGUUUCUGCUUUCUGGGUUUACAACAUCAUCAUGAAGGUAAUUUCAUUCUCUAUCAAGCACAAGAAUCAAAAGAUCUAAAUGGUUCAACUUACCACAUGACAAACUAAUAUUUGAAAGUUACCAGUGCACGAUUCCCUGGCAAGAAAAUGGGCCAUUAACAAACUUCAACCAAAUUGAACACACCAUAACUCUCAAAAUGUUUAUCUAAUUCAUAGAAAUUUUAUGUUGAAGUUGGUUGCUCAUUAAAAUUUCCAAAAAAUCAACGCAAAUUUAGCAGCUAGUAAUGUACCACAAAAUGAGACGAGACAUACAGGUCUUAUAAUAAAGGUCUGUAUUUGCCUGUCUUCAUUGUAAAUUACAAGCAGAUACCAUAAUGCACUCAACAGCUUCAGGCUCUAUAACAGCAAAGAUGGACUCACAGUAUGAAGAGGAAAACGCACGCGCACACACACAUGUCAGUGUAUAUUAUGGCAAGAAUAUCAACAAUAUAUGGCAACCAAAUUGUGACAGAAUAUCUUGUAUUUAUUGUAUUUAUUAUAGACUAUAAAUCAGGGAUUAGAGACAGAAAAUUAGGAAUUAUGACAUGUAUUUAGAGGACUGAAUUCUUCCUUGAGAAAUCAAUCAAACAGAGAACAAUUUUACAUUGAAAUCUGAUAUUUGUGACAUGGUAUCUGAGCCAAUUAUUCUGAUCUAGACCUUUGUUCUUUUCUUCAGUUUACAGACUGAAUUCGUCAGUAUUUGGUGAUUUUUUUUGGGGUUUCCUAGGAUGUCUGGAGAGGCUUUUCUUACUCGAUUCAAUGGCAAAAACUAUGCCAGUUGGGAGUUUCAGUUUCGUAUGUUUGUUAAAGGGAAGGAAUUAUGGGGGCAUCUCGAUGGAUCUUCACCAGCGCCAACCGAUCCACAGAAGCUGAGUAUAUGGACUACCAAGGAUGCGAAAAUUGUUUCUUGGAUACUCGGGUCUGUUGAGCCCCAUAUGAUCAACAAUCUUCGAUCGUUUGGCACAGGGAAGGAGAUUUGGGACUACUUCAGACGCAUCUAUUCCCAGAACAAUUCGGCUCACAAAUUUCAAGUCGAAAUGGAUAUUGCCAAUUACAAACAAGGUAAUCUCUCAAUUGAACAAUUCUAUGCUGGAUUUCUAAACCUAUGGAGUGAAUAUACUGGCAUAAUUUACUCUAAAAUACCGAAGGAGAGUUUAGAAGCAAUAUACCUUGUUCAUACCGAGAGCCAGAGGGACCAGUUCUUGAUGAAGCUCCGGCUAGAAUUUGAGGCCGUGAGAGCUAGCUUGAUCAAUCGAAGUCCAGUACCCACUUUGGAUGAAUGUUUGGGGGAAUUGUUACGGGAAGAACAACGACUCGCCACUCAACACGAGUUGACUCAGGACACUGUCACAGAGAUGAAUGUGGCUUACAUGGCUCAAGGAAGGGGACGACAGAGGGGUGUAAGUGUGCAGUGUUUUAAUUGCAAAGAAUUAGGGCAUAUUGCCAGAAAUUGCAGCAAGAAAUUCUGCAAUUAUUGUAAGAAAGAGGGGCAUGUAAUCAAGGAAUGUCGUCUGCGACCACAGAAUCGACAAGGGUUUACUGUGCAGUCGAAAUUGGGGGCUACUUCUAUGGCUGCUGCUGUCGUGUCCUCAUUGUUGGCACUAGAAUCUUCAUUGUCGGUGAGCUCUUCGUCGAGCACUCUCACUCCCGAGAUGGUGCAGCAGAUGAUAAUAUCUGCCUUCUCUGCACUCGGGAUUUCUGGUAAGAAAAAUAAACUUAACUUUCCCUUGGAUUCGGCACAUAAUAAAUAAUGGUUAAUGGAUUCGGCAGCGUCGAAUCACAUGACCAGCAGUGAAAAUGGGUUGUAUAAUUUGCGAAAAUACAUGGGUAAUCAGCAUAUACAGGUAGCAAAUGGUGAUAAUCUACCGAUUUUAUCGAUUGGUAAUUUGGGGUCUUAUUUCAAUAAUAUUUUUGUGUCACCAAAAUUAUCCACAAGUUUAUUCUCUGUUGGUCAAAUGGUAGAAAAUAACUGUGAAAUUCACUUUGAUCGUCAUAGUUGUUGUGUGCAGGAUCAAGUGUCGGGGAAGGUGAUCGCGAAGGGGCCUAAAGUGGGACGUUUAUUUCCAAUACAAUUUUCUAUUCCUGGUAUUAAUUCUUGUGCUUAUUCUAUUGUCAUUAAUAAUCCUCAUUUUUGGCAUAAGAAAUUGGGGCAUCCUAAUUCUAAUGUAUUGACUCAUCUUAUGAAACAUGGAUAUUUGGGGAAUAAAAAUUCUUUUUCAACAGAAUUUUUGGAUUGUAGUUCUUGCAAAUUGGGUAAAAGCAAAGCAUUGUCAUUUCCUUCACAUGGUAGUCGUGCUUCUAAAUGUUUUGAAAUUAUUCAUACUGAUGGAUGGGGCAUAAGCCCUGUUAUCUCUCAUGCUCAGUAUAAAUAUUUUGUCACGUUUAUUGAUGAUUUCAGUCGUUUCACUUGGAUAUAUUUUCUCCGAUCUAAGGCUGAUGUAUUCUCAAUAUUUCAGGCUUUCGUUGUAUUUGUUGAAAAUCAAUUUUCUACUCAUAUUAAAAUACUUCGUUCUGAUUCCGAGGGGGAAUAUAUGUCUAAAGAAUUUCAGGAAUAUCUCAAAAACAAAGGGAUUCUCUCUCAAAGAUCUUGUCCUUACACUCCUCAACAAAAUGGAGUUGCUGAGCGUAAGAAUCGUCAUCUUUUAGAUGUCGUUCGCACCUUAUUAAUUGAUUCUUCGGUACCUACUCGAUUUUGGGUAGAAGCUCUGUCAACAGCAGUUCAUCUAAUUAAUCGUUUCCCUUCUCAAGUUCUAAACUUUGCAUCUCCAUACUCUAUUUUAUUUGGUGUUAUUCCUUAGUAUGAUUCUCUCCAUGUUUUUGGGUGUGUUUGUUUUGUUCACUUACCAUUUACUGAACGUAAUAAACUUUCAGCCCAAGCUGCUCGUUGUGCUUUUCUAGGAUACAGUAAUUCUCAUAAAGGGUUUGUGUGUUAUGAUGCAAAUGCUCAUAAAAUUCGUAUCUCUCGAAAUGUGAUUUUCUUUGAAAAUCAGAAUUUUUUCCCUUCUUGUCCCUCUACAGAAUCCACUCCUAUCCAGCUUCCCACAAUUGAUGAUGACAGUCCAUCUUAUAUCUUUGAACGUUUUAAGCCAGGAAUUGUAUAUCAAAGACGUCAUCCACCAUCCAUUUUGCCCCUUCCGGACACGGAACCGACAUCUGAUCAUUCCCCUCAACUAAGACGAUCAACUCGAGUUUCACGUGCCCCAAACAGGUAUGGAUAGUCAGCAACUACUAUUGAUAGUACUUUUGUGCCUAAGACUUAUGCACAGGCUUCUACCCAAGACUGUUGGCAACAGGCCAUGAAAAAGGAACUUCAGGCUCUUCAGGAUAAUCACACAUGGGAUAUUGUUUCUUGUCCUACCAGAAUUAAACCUAUUGGCUGCAAAUGGGUAUACACUAUUAAAUUCCAACCUGAUGGAUCUGUGGAACGAUAUAAAUCACGGUUGGUGGCUCUUGGAAAUUGUCAGGCAUAUGGUAUUAAUUAUGAGGAGACAUUUGCACCUGUGGCUAAAAUGACUACCAUACGAACCAUUAUGGCAAUUGCUGCUUCCAAAAGAUGGCCACUUCGUCAAAUGGAUGUAAAAAAUGCAUUUUUACAUGGAGACCUGAAAGAGAAUAUUUAUAUGACUCCUCCUCCUGGUAUGUUUACUCACCCAUCUGAUAAAGUCUGCUGGUUGAAACGGUCCCUGUAUGGUCUAAAACAGGCAUCACAGGCAUGGUUUGAAAAAUUUCGCACUACUCUUCUGAAACUUAAAUUUAUUCAGAGCCAAUAUGAUUCCUCUCUGUUUCUUCAGCAAACUACUACUGGUAUUGUUGCUCUUCUGGUAUAUGUGGAUGAUAUUAUCAUUACAGGAUCUGACAUUCCACUCAUUGAGGAUUUACAACGUUCUCUUAACAGUGAAUUUCAUAUGAAGGAUCUGGGACACCUUCACUAUUUUCUUGGUCUACAGGUGCACUCUAUGUCCAAUGGGAUUUCUCUAAAUCAGCACCAAUACACCCAAGAGAUUCUUCUCUUGGGCGGUCUUGAAUCAGGGAAUAGUGUUCUUACACCUCUCGAGAUUAACUUAAAACUUUGUCAGAAUGAUGGUGACCUGUUACCUGAUCCCUCCAUAUACAGGCAAUUGAUGGGCAGUUUGAAUUAUCUAACCAUUACUCGGCCAGAUAUUUCUUUUGCAGUACAACAAGUCAGUCAGUUUUUACAGGCUCCUCGUCAACCUCAUUUAGCUGCUGUCCGAAGAAUUCUUCGCUAUCUUAAAGGCACAUCUGGGCGAGGAUUAUUUUUUCCUGCUAAUAAUUCAUUAUAAUUAACAGGUUAUAGUGAUGCAAAUUGGGCAGGGUGCAUGGAUACACGUCGAUCUGUUACUAGGUGGUGUAUGUUUCUUGGAAAUGCGUUAAUUUCAUGGAAAAGCAAAAAGCAAGAUCGAAUCUCGAAAUCUUCCACAGAAUCUGAGUAUCGAGCUAUGUCCUCUGCAUGUUCUGAAAUUGUCUGGCUCCAGGUUCUGCUACGUGAACUUGGUUUUCCUCAGCACACUCCUACACCUCUUCAUGCUGAUAACACAAGUGCUAUUCAGAUUGCUACUAAUCCUGUGUUUCAUGAAUGCACCAAACAUAUUGAAGUUGAUUGUCACUACAUUCGUGAAGCUCUUGAUCAUAAUAUUCUUACACUACCUCAUAUUUCCACCGAGCAUCAGACAACUGAUGUCUUUACAAAGGCCUUAUCUCGGCCUCGACAUCAACUCAUGAUUGACAAAUUGAUGCUUCUUGAUCGGCCAACAUCAAUUUGAGGGGGGAUGUCAGUGUAUAUUAUGGCAAGAAUAUCAACAAUAUAUGGCAACCAAAUUGUGACAGAAUAUCUUGUAUUUAUUGUAUUUAUUAUAGACUACAAAUCAGGGAUUAGAGAUAGAAAAUUAGGAAUUAUGACAUGUAUUUAGAGGACUGAAUUCUUUCUUGAGAAAUCAAUCAAACAUAGAACAAUUUUACAUUGAAAUCUGAUAUUUGUGACAACACACACACAAGGCCAUAUCUGACAAUAGUCCCCGAACGGCAAGUACAAAAAAAAACCUUUCUCUAUUUCUAAUAAAAUAGAACAAGAAAGAAGAUUCAACACUGUUUAAGAAUGAACAAAUAGUCUACACAAAUAAGAAUAUAAGCGUGGCAUUUAUGGGGUAAUACUUUAAUGUUGUUAGUUUAACUCUCUCUUUGGUGGGUUUAUCUCCAUUAGUAAAAUAAAUCUACCCAUGAAACAUCAGUGCUAAUAUUCGAACAAUAAACCACAAAAAAUGGUUUCUUUUAGAAAUCCAAAGACAUAAAGCAGAUGACUUUUUGCCCUCUAUGCUGAUUUAUCUCUACACUUCAAUAAUCUAUUCUACUAAAAAAAAAAACCAUUUAAAGGAUAGACAGAAGGGCUUAAACUUCACAAAAUUCUGGAAAUUUUUGCAGUAACUGAUAUCUGCCAAAGUUUGAGUCUUUCCCAACUGAAAUUGUAGUUCUGAUAAUUGUGAUUGUUUGGAAAUGAUUUGGCUUUUAAGCAAACUCAGUGAAUUUUGUUACAGUUUCUUUUUUAGACAGAUGGCUAAAGAUAGAUAGAUAAACUGAAAGAGAAAGAGUUGCAUUCAACAUCUGCUUGUUUUUCAAAGUCAAUGACUGCUGGGCUGCUGGCCAUGUUGAAAAUGUUAUGCUUUUGAAAAAUAAAAUGAAAUUUGUUCUUUAAAGUAUUUUUAUUUUAAAAUAUAUUAAAAUAAUUUUUUAUUUUUAAAAUUUUAAUUUUGAUAUCAGUACAAUAAAAAUAAAUAAUUUAUAAUAAAAAUAAAAUUUAAAAUUUUAUAAAAAAACAUUAUAUCGCAAAAACAAACAAUCAUAUAGAUUAUAUUUUUUAAAAAGAUUUUAAAAAUAAAUGCAACCAGAAAAAAAUUAAGCAUGUAUAUCUUUGCCUUAAUUUUCCUUUUCUAAGUAUCGUUUAGUGACAAAAUUUACCAUGUAAAAAGCCCUCCAACUUUUAUUCUUUCUUUGUGCCAAUGUUUAUUUCAUUUUAAGUGAUUUUUAGAAUGUUUUUUUGAUAGAAAAACAUCUCAAAAUAAAAUUUAAUUGAUAUCUUUUCAACUCAAACAUGUAUUUGUUAUCAGUGAAAAUGGUGAGAAAUUCAAGGAAAGUGUAAUGCUUCUUUACCAUCAAAACUCAAAGCCAUGCUAUGAGUUCAGAACUUCAUCAGAUGUACUGAUUUAAAAUAUUGGCUUUCAUUGUUACAUGACUGAAGAUGAAAGUCUUUAGAAGUUCACAUUACUUGCAGGUCUAACUAGGUUGGUGCCUCUCAGACCUUUUAAAUAGAGAAAAAAUAAAGAGGGGAUAAAAACAAAAAUGACGAUCAUACCUUUAUCCCCUCCAAAGUCGUUCAACUUUGCUACAGCACGUAUCAAGUUUAAUAAGUUCCUCUGAAUGGACAAUGGCAAGUUCUUGAAAGGAUAUUCAUGCCAUUUGAGAAUCUGUGACUCAUUACAAAGCUAUUAAAGUCUACACACAUUAGGGAAUACUGAUGAUCUUAAUGUGCAUGUCCUGUUGCUGGUAAUUCUGGGUUUAUCUCUUCAAUAUCUUCUGUUCCCUAACAAUUAAACAUACAAUUCCAACAAGCUAAGAAUGCAAGGAAUGGUUUUAUGUGAUGUUGUCACGACCCGAAUCCCGGGUCCAUGACCGGCAACGCAGGAGCGGUGCCGGAAGGACACCCCGCCCGCGCUAAGCCUCAAAAAAAUUGGACCAAUCUGGAAAAUACAUAACUAUACUGAAUUUUCACCCAUAAACCAUCCUUAAUUCUGUCUAGAACGAACCAGGGACCGAACUGUAAUUUUCAUAAAGUUCAGGGACUAAAAUGUAAAUUCCCAAAAUUGAGGGACCAAACUGAAAAUAUUCCCAAUCAAUUAUCAAACUGAGAUUCAUCAUCCUUAACCUCAUAAUAACACUGUCCAGAAUCUCAAAAUACAAUUAGGGGUCAAAUUAUAAUUUUUCCCAAAGUUUAGGGACUAAACUGUAAUUUCACAAAUUGAGGGACCAAAUUGAAUUUUCGUCAUCUUCAACCUCAAACCCAGAAUUUCACAGAUUACCUACUGUCAUCACCUGAUUUCUAACACAAUUUCACCAUUCAAAUAAAAUCAUAACUCAAAAUCAUCAUCUUUACCUCCAAUCUCUCACAAUCAACUAAUUAACCAAUUACCCACAACAAUCAACCCAUAACCUUCCAAUUAAUUCAUCAAUCAAACUCAAAACACAAUAUUCAAAACCCUAACAUUUAUCAAAACAGAACUUAAAGCUUAAAGAACACACAUUUAUACAUAAUCAAAAUUACGUUUUGGUCCCUGUUUUGGAAAAUUAUCGUUUUAGUCCAUAAAAUUAGGAGACUAAACCUGGUUUUAUUUUAUGCAUUGGGAUCUCUUGUUUGAGUUGCUUUUGAGUAUAUUUUCAUAUUGUUGUAGGUUCUCCUAACGAUCCUCAAUAGGAUUUUCGGGUCUUUCGUCUGACAUUCCUUUUAAUUCUAUAUUUUCCGGGUGAGUGGAAUAAUCUUUAAUAUGCAUAUAUGAUAAGUAAAUAUGUAUGUUGAUUAUACAAUGAGUACAACUCGUUAAUUCUUUGAAUAAUUAUAUAUGUUGCUUAUUUUCCGAGUACUCAUUUAUUCUUGAAUUUGCACUCGCAAUCUGUCGAACUAUAUUCUAUUUGAUAUGAUAUACGUUUCUUUGAUGAUUAUGUGAAUAUCUAUUAUGCCUUGAUAUGUUGAGUGUUCCUGCUUCUUCAGUUUUGAGUCGGUAUGCCUUGCUUAUCUUUCAAGGCUGUUUGAUUCGAUGUCUUAGGCGCUCCACUAUUACUUUGUUUUGAUUAAGUUUGGAUUUUUGACAAUGUAAUGAGUAUUAUGGAUUAUUGUUUUUGUUUUAAUUACUGAUGAGGAGUUUUAAACUAUCUUCUGGUUUCAUCAGUAACUCCAUGCUAACGGAGAGUAGUUAGCCUGUGUGCACAUAGUAUUCUGUAUGUAUACCUAGCUGGUGAGAGAGGCAUCAGCCUGUGGCGACUGAUCAUCCCACAGUGGUCACCUUCGGGUGUCAUCUGGUCUGGUCACCUUCGGGUGUCAUCUGGUCACCUUCGGGUGUCAUCUGAUCUCUGACAUAUAGUCCACUACGUUAUGAUGAUACGUUUAGUAUGUAUAUGAUAUGUAUAUGUAUAUGUACAUCAAGAUAAAUGAUCUUGCGAACUAUUAAUAUCAAGAAUAUCUAAAAUGUAUAUUAAUUAUUAUUCCCUCACUGAGUUGGUUGAACUCACCCCUCAUUCUUAAUAUUAUUUCAGGUUCUUAGUUUCUGAUAGCAGGUGAACUUUGUUGAGUGUUCCUGCUUCUUCAGUUUUGGGUCAGUAUGCCUUGCUUAUCUUUCAAGGCUGUUUGAUUCGAUGUCUUAGGCGCUCCACUAUUACCUUGUUUUAAUUAAGUUUGGAUUUUGACAAUGUAAUGAGUAUUAUGGAUUAUUAUUUUUGUUUUAAUUACUGAUGAGGAGUUUUAAACUAUCUUUUGGUUUCAUCAGUUUUGAAUAAUAUAAGAUUUCUGAAGAUUAUGAAAUGCUGCGUAUUUUUGAAUAAAUUAUUCUUUUGAUAUGUCCGUUUUGAGGCUUAGCGCGGGCGGGGUGUCCUUCCGGCACCGCUCCUGCGUUGCCGGUCAUGGACCCGGGAUUCGGGUCAUGACAGAUGUCUCUCAGUGUAUUUCAUGUCUAGGCAAGGCAGAUAUCCUUACAGAGCCAUAGCCUCGGAAAUCUCUUACGAUUUUCCUGGCUCCUUGGAAAUUCUUGUCGAGCAAGUUCUUAAAACAAAUCUUGCAUCGAUAAUCAGCUGUUUUCCUUAAAGUUGGUCGAGACAUUUACCAAUGAGAACUUGUCCCAAUAACUGGCAAGAAACCUCAGGUGACACACAUUUCUGUUGUAUUCAGCUUUGUGCUUUCCCUUAAAAAACAUGCAAUAUCUGUGAAAAUUUUCUUUCCAUACCCUCUAAUCCAUUAAAACUUGUUGACUUUUAUCCAAGAGUUCUUUUCCUGGAUUUUCUUUCAUUCUUGCUAGAGAGGGACUUAAACAUCCAUCAGUCAAUGAUAUAAGGAUUGAUUUGCAAGGAAUUUUAAUAUAGAGGUUAAAAUGAUUAACAUUUAGAACUUAGAGGAUCAUAUAAGUAAUUUGCUUGAAAAAAGGUUGACUGCAUGGAGCCGUCUUUUCUUUUCAUUGCAUCCCAAGAUUAUCAAUUAUGUUUCGUUUCAUCCAGAAAUACCGGUAUAUCUCAUUUCAAUUCAAAAUACAGAACAAACUGGAAUAGAUUUUAUUUCUGUCACGACCCGAAUCCCGGGUCCGUGACCUGCAACGCAGGAGCGGUGUCGAAAGGACACCCCAUCUAUGCUAAGCCUCAAAAUAGACAUAUCAAAAGAACAAUUUAUUCAAAAAUACGCAGCAUUUCAUAAUCUUCAGAAAUAUUAUAUUAUUCAAAACUGAUAAAACCAAAAGAUUGUUUAAAACUCAUCAUCAAUAAUUAAAACAAAAACAAUAAUCCAUAAUACUCAUUACAUUGUCAAAAUCCAAACUUAAUUAAAUAGGUAAUAGUGGAGCGUCUAAGACAUUGAAUCAAAAUUAAAAGGAAAGCCUCACAAAACAAGUAAGGCAUACCGACUCAAACUGAAGAAGCAGGAACACUCAACAAAAUCCACCUGCUAUCAGAAACUAAGAACCUGAAAUGAUAUUAAGAAUGAGGGGUGAGUUCAACCAACUCAGUGAGGGAAUAAUAUUUAAUAUACGUUAUAGAUAUUGAUGAUAUUAAUAGUUUGCAAGUCGAUUUAUAUAUUAUACAUAUACAUACUAAACAUAUUAUCAUAAGAUAGCAGAAUACAUGUCAGAGAUCAGAUGACACCCGAAGAUGACCAGAUGACACCCGAAGGUGACCACUAUGGGAUGAUCAGUCGCCACAGGCUGAUGUCUCUCUCACCAGCUAGGUAUACAGAAUACUAUGUGCACAUAGGCUAACUACUCUCCGUUAGCAUGGAGUUACUGACAAGUCCCAUAUCAAGGCAUAAUAGAUAUUUACAGAAUCAUCAAAGAAACGUAUAUCAUAUCAAAUAGAAUUUAGUUCAACAGAUUGCGAGUGCAAAUUCAAGAAUAAAUGAGUACUCGAAAAAUAGAGCAAUAUAUAUAAAUAUUCAAGAAAUUUACUGGUUGUACUCAUUGUAUAAUCAACAUACAUAUUUAUUUAUAUUAUAUGCAUAUUAAAGAUUAUCCCACUCACCCGGAAAAUAUAAAACUAAAAGGAAUGUCAGAUGAAAGACUCGAAAAUCCUAUUGAAGAUCGUUAGGAGAACCUACAACAAUAUAUGAAAUAUACUCAAAACAACUCAAACAAAAGAUCCCAAUGCAUAAAAUAAAACCAGGUUUAGUCUCCUAAGUUUAUGGACUAAAACGACAAUUUUCCAAAACAGGGACCAAAAUGUAAUUUUACCAAAAUUGGAGGACCAAUUUGGAAAUACAUAACCAUACUGAAUUUGCACCCAUAAACCAUCCUAAAUUCUGUCUAGAACGUACCAGGGACCGAAUUGUAAUUUUCAUAAAGUUCAGGGACUAAAAUGUAAAUUCCCAAAAUUGAGGGACCAAACUGAAAAUAUUCCAAAUCAAUUAUCAAACUGAGAUUCAUCAUCCUUAAUCUCAUAAUAACAAUGUCCAGAAUCUCAAAAUACAUUUAGGGGUCAAAUUAUAAUUUUCCCAAAGUUUAGGAACUAAACUGUAAUUCUCAUAAAUCAAUAACCAAAAUAAAAUUUGGUUAUCUUCAACCUCAAGACAAUUCUGUCCAGAUUUUACAGCAAGGUAAAAUUGAAUUUCUUAACCCAUAAAAAUUAAUUUAAACAAAUCAACUCAUAAAUCCUUAUUUUCAACAACAUACUAAUUAAUCACCUAACAUUAAACUCUUAAUAAUCAUAAAUCAAUCUUAACAAUAUAAACUUUCAAUCCUUUUAAACCCUAAUCUCUUCUUUAAUCAUUUCAUAAACAAACUAUAAUAGAAAGUAAUAUGAAAGAGAACCACUUACUUGCUACUUCCACCUUUCUUGAACCAAAAACUCAAGAUCAAAAACUAAACUCUUUGGUUUGAGGAGGGGAGGGUCACGACGGCUACAGGAAUUAGAAGAGAGGAAAUAAAUUAUCUUGCAACUCUUCCUUAAAUACCUAGGUUAACUUAGGUUGGGUUUGGGCUGACUUGGACAUAGGUUUGGGCCAAAAGUCUGGGUCUUACAAUUUCAUUCAAAAUCUUUUCCUGUUCCAGAAAUACCGUCUAAAUUCCAGUUAGAAUGUUCUGGUUUCAUUCCGCAUGUUAUGAUCCUGGCAAAUAAUUUAUUUUUUUGGUUUUUUAUUUUUUUAAAAAUAUUGCAGUUUUAUGAUGUCAAUCAUAUUUACAACCCGGUAAUCAUCAAUUGAUGAAUGGAGUGAACUUUGCUUCUGCAGGAACUGGUGCCCUUGUGGAAACUCAUCAAGGAAAAGUACGUGAUCUUAUUGAUUAAGCCCUUUCUUUUUGUGUGUGUUUUAGCUUAGGCUUCUUGUUCAUCACAGCUAAAUAGUCCGUAGAAUUUGCUUAUUGGUGCAAAUCCAGCAUUAUUAACUUGGUCUGCAUCUUAAUAUUGUUCUCAUUUGCUCCCAUUCAUUGAAAAGGUGAUAGACCUUAAAACACAAUUAAGUUAUUUUAAGGAAGUGGAGAAGCUACCAAGGCAGAAAUUAAGCGAUGAAGUAGCUAAGACAUUGUUGUCCUCUGCUCUUUACUUGUUCAGCAUUGGAAGCAAUGACUACUUUGUACCUUUCAUUACAAACCCCACUGUGCUUCAAUCCUACAACAGAAAUGAGUACAUCAGGAUGGUUUUCGGCAACCUGACAUCUGGUAUCCAAGUGAUAUGGUAAUAACCUAAACAUUCUUUCUGUUUUUCAAAUCGAUCAUGGUCUAUAUAUGGUUUCGCUUUACUGUUCCAGGAAAUAUAUAAGGAGGGAUGAAAUUUGGAAUUUCAAACUUGGCUGCAUUGGGCUGUUUUCCUUUCCUAAGAGCACUUAAACGAACUAGAACAAGAAGUUCAGGCUGCAUGGAUGAAGUUACGGUUCUGACAAGCUACACAAUAGAGAACUCUCUAAGGUCCUUAAAAAGCUUGAGAGACAGCUUAAUGGAUUUAAGUAUUCAAAUUUUGAUUUCCAGACUUUACAUAGUGAAAGAAUAAACCAUCCCUCCGAAUAUGGUAUGUUUAUAUCUACAUGUCAAUUCAAAAUUUCCUGCUUGUGUUUCUCAAAUAACAAGUCUAUCCUAACUGUGAGGUUCAGGGUAUGACUUGUUACUAAUUCUUCUAUACCUAUUUUAAUUUUGAUUGUUGCAACUUGAAUGUGAAGAUUUUAAGGAGAUAAAAGUGGCAUGUUAUGGCGCUGGUCCGUAUAGAGGUUCCAAGUGUGGUCUGAACAAGUUCGAAUUAUGCGAUAAUGCGAGUGAAUAUCUCUUCUUUGAUGGAAUUCAUCCAGCGGAUGAGGUUCAUAAUCAAUUUGCAAAGUUGCUGUGGAGUGGAAAUCCUGAUGUUGGAGGGCCUUACAAUCUCAAAACACUGUUUGAGGAAUAGCAUAAAUGAUAAAACAAGGUGUACUUUUUUCCAGAUGCUGCAUUAGUUAACCAAAGAAAACUUGCUUCUCUUUAUUCUAUUUUGACUUGGAAGAAAUGACAUUAGAGGUGAGAGCAGAGUUCUGUUCUUGAGUAGAACACUCACAGGAAUCAGAAAGAUCAUAUCUUGGUUUAGUAAUGCACUAGUUUACGAUGUAUCUGAUCAGCUCCUCAAAAUUCAAGAACCCUCUAAAAUCUGGUCCUUUUGAAAAGAUUCUGGGAGUAGCACAGACUUAUAAUUUUCAACUUUAAAUUCCUGCUCAGAAUGAUAAGGAAAUACUUGACAUCUUAGAGCUUUCUGAAAGAAGAGAUGCUUAAAAUUCUGUUGAAUGUGAGGAAACAAUUGCUGGACCAUAGUGCUUCUACACGGGUAUUUCUUCACGUACAAAAUUGCACUUAUCGAUUAUGACCUCUUUGAGAGAUCACAAGACCACCACCCUACCGGCAAGAAACUAAAUAACUGGAGUCCUUUAAGGUUUGGUUCAACUUCACAAGUUAGAAAUUAAUGAAUAAGUUCUUUACAACCACGCAGACAAGCCAUCGGCACUAGACUCUCUACGACCACAUUAUAGUAACAAAGGACCAAACCCAACGACACCUAGAUUUAUCAGCAAAUAUGAACAACAAAGUAUGGUCUACCUGUGUGUCUCAUUCCACUGCAGAAAGUGCUGCAGUCAGCUACAGGCUGAUUAAAGACAUCAAAGGUAGCUGUAGAAGCUCUCUUGUAAUGAAGCAGCAAAUUGUUAAGCCUUAAUUCUGAAGCAGCAUUACAAAUUAAAUCAGACAAUAUGUUCAAGAACUAGUAAUAUAGAAAUCCUAGUUCAAGGACUACUAGCAUUUUGACCCAUAUUUCAAGACAGUUAUGUACCUUUUAGCCUUUAAUUUAUCAGCCUCAUUACAGUGUUGGUGUGGCCUUUCGUUUGUAUUUUUCUCAUGUUCUGUUGGUAUGCUCGACUGGAAAUGAAGCUGAACUUCUUCAUAUUCUUAGGCUUUGGAAAUCAGCCUCAACCUGUCCUCUUUUGAGUUUUGUUUUGGCUUUAGAUUUUGUCAGGCAUUGGUCUACUAAGCAAUGUUGUUGUCAUAAAAUGGUGAUUUGAAGUAUUUUGUAGGCUAGUCUUGAUACGGCUACCUCUUGUAGUCUCAGGCCACUUAGAAGAUCUAUUGUAAUUUUCUCUGUAGUGUCAAUAUUAUCAUUGAUCCAAAAAUAAAAGGGACAUGUCAAUAUUAUCAAUUUAUCAAGGUUGGACAUUGGCACCUUGGACUAAUCAUUGAUAUCCAUGUUAAGUAAAAGCACAGACGACCAAAGGAAUGGGAAGCGAUAGAAAUAUAUUGAAAACUUGAAUAAACAGAAAACAAAAACACCAAUGCUGAGUAGCCAUGGUGGGAUUUAUAUGCAUACAUAUAUUGAUGGAAAGUAGGGAACAUAUGUUGAUAUAUAACAUGGAUAUAGGGUUAAGGUCCCUGCAGCUUCACUGAGAAUCCAUUCAUUUCCAGGAUGAAUGAAGCAAAUUUCAUUAAUCAAAGAACCGAGUAGAAGAAAACUGAUCCCAAUAGCAGCAAUUUAUCAAGACUUUUUAGAAUUUUGGAGUAAAUUUGUAUUUUUUCAGCAAUUUAUCUUUAGAUACGAGGCAGCUGUUAAAUUCCAAUUCUAUUGCCUUUCAAUCAAUUAUAUACAAACUGAUGCUUUAAGUCAAUGAUUUCAUACACAGUAGCAGAUUAAAAACACACACUGUACGUUCAUGUCCAUCUUCAAAAUCCUACUAAGAAUAGGUUACCGAGCCUCAACAAAUUUUGGGUGCUUCAGAACAUCAAAGCAUCACGGUGUUGGAAAUUCUGACUAAAUUCUACCACAACUAAUGAUACCCUAAACUCUCUACCUCUUAACUUGAGAUGCUCAGGAAUUAAUCUCCACAUAUGGAGCACUAUACAGUUCGAUGGCUCAACAUACUUUUAAAUUCAUCUUCUUUACCAAUCAUUCUUGAAUAUGCAGGUUAGCUCGCGAAAGAGGUCUGCCGCAUGCAUGCACCCACCUCUCUAGAUCCAUUAGGUAAUGCAGAAGAAAGACAUUUAAGGACAUUAGUGCUUACCUAAGCGUGUCUCCAGGCGGUAAUUUUGGUCCCCUCAAUACUGGUGAGAUGCUGAAAUUAUUGCCAUCAGCUUGGAACGAAGGGUGCCCAAGAGGCACUGGUCGAUCUGGAAUCUGUGGAACUUCAAUAUCUCCUUCUAACAUUUUCAGCGCAUCCAGAAUGGUUGGCCUUAGAGCCACCAUUAUAUGAGCACACAAAAUCCCAACCAGCACAAACCUUUCCAUUAUCCCCUUCGGAUUUGAAUUUGAAGAAUCACCACCUCUCAACAAAGAAGCAUCCAAUGCCUGUUCCACUUUUCCAGCUUUCACCAAUGACCAGGCCCAGUCUGUGAUCAAUAAAGCACGAGGUGACCCUGAAGAAGACAAAUCAAGAGCUUUUCUCCCACUCAUUAUCUCCAAAACAACCACCCCAAAGCUAUAAACAUCGCUCUUCUCAGUCAGUUGACCAUAAAGAGCAUAUUCGGGUGCUAAGUACCCAUGAGUUCCAGCCACUCUUGUCGUAAGAUGAGACUGCCCUUCCCUACUUUGCUUUGCCAACCCAAAAUCGGCAACUCUUGCUCUCAUUUCAGCAUCUAACAAUAUAUUUUUCCCCUUGAUAUCUCUAUGAUAUAUUCCAGGCUUGACUCCAUGGUGCAAAUAAGCUAAUCCCUUCGCCACAUCCAAAAUUAUGCUCUUUCUUUGAGGCCAACUUAACAAUUGCUUUUGAAUUUGAUUAUCCGAUGAUGGAAAUAAAUGGUCAUCAAGAUUCCCAUUUGACAUGUAAUCAUAAACAAGAUACCUCUGAUUGCCUCUCUCAUCAGAAUUUACAUCAUCGUCAAUCACACAGCACCCUCUGAGCGGCACCAAAUUCCUGUGCUUCAAGUUGCUAAUAAUCUCAACCUCGUUGCAAAACUCUGCAUCACCUUGAAAAUCAGAUUCUAUAACCCUUUUAAUAGCCACCACUGUCCCAUCAGAUAAAACCCCCUUGUAAACAAAACCAAACCCGCCUCUCCCAAUAAAAUUCUUCUGCGAGAAAUUGUCUGUUGCCUUCUCAAGAUCCCGAAUUUUAAACCAAAUUGACCCUGUAUUCGGCCUCAGUUUAGGCCUAGACCCUUGUUGUUCAUCUAAAUCAAAACCAAACCCUAGAUUCUUUUUCCUUCUCCAUUUCUUAUCAUACCAAAGAUACAAUCCUAACAAACUAGAGAUUACCAAAAUAGCAACACCAGCACCAGUCAAGCCAAAAACAAGAGCAGAAUGAGAAUUGCUAGCUGAACCAACGCUUGAAUUUAAUUCCAAACUAAAUAUACAUGAAACAACACCAUCACUUUCAGGACCAAACUCGUUAACAAUACCAGCAGCAUAAAGAACAGCAAAGUAAAAACAAUCUUGAGCAUGAGUUUGAUUACCAUCAGCAGACAGCAACAACGACUGUACUUUAUAACCAGCUCUAAGACAAGAAGCACAAGCUGUAAGAUCAGUAAGAUCAGACCGGCAAUCUGAAUCAAGAGAAGUCGAUUUACCAAGUUGAUCAACCCAGUCUUGAGAUGUCUCUAUACGGGCACAGAUGUUAGGUGCUGUAACAAACUGUAAAGGGUUAAAGCAGUGAGAGACAAGAUCGUCGGAAAGAGAAAAGGAGCUGAGCUUUGACUGGUAAUCUUGAAGGCAAGAACUAGAGGUAGCUAAGUUUGGAAGUUGAAAAAAAGAGGUUUCUUUGAGAUGUUGAGAUAGGGCAACGCCAAAGAGGGAGAGUAUGGUUUGGCAACAUGGGGGCUUGCUUGUGCUGUUGGUAUUGUCAUUUUGAGCAAGAGGGUUGAAGUUUCGACAAAGAGUUUGGUUCCACGGGAUUCUUAAGACAUAGUUAAGGUCCAUAGGGCAUAUGUUUGAAGUGGAGGUUUCUGCUGCUGCAGAGGUGAGAGGGAGACAGAAUGAUAUCAAGACAAGAAACCUUAAGAAAUCAAGAUUACUGCUGCCCCCCAUGCCAAGCAUUAGAUUUUGCUAAGAAUAGGGUUGCUUAGGAUUUAUUGUUAUCUUGGCUUAUGAGCUCUGGCUUGAAGUGCAGAGGAGAGGAAGAAGAAGACGAAGAAAUCAUAUGGAAGAAGAGAGGGAAAGUUCUGGUCAAACACUCACUUCAAGGGUUGUGCAGCAGGGAGUUCAGUCGGUAAGCACCAUUCAAAUAAACAAAAAAUAAUUAUCCCAAUUAAUUUUGAUAACAAAAAGUUUGAAAAUCUUUUAAGAAUAAAAAAUUCCGGUAAUUCUUCGGAAUAAAUUUCAAAAUAUUCAGGUAAGGGGGAAAAAAUUUCACGGUAUCCUAAAUUACAUGAACUACCCCAACGCUCACCUUACGUUACUCUGAGUGCUAAACUCAGCUCGCCAAAUUUACUCUAAUAAUAGUUAGUUUUUCAAGUUAAAUAAAAAAAAAGUUGUUUUAGUGAAAUCUAAUCAGACAAGCGUUUUCCAAGUUGUUAAGUAACAUGAUUUGUUUAGUAAUAUAAUAGUGAUUAUUUUUUAAAAUAUUUUUUAUUUUAAAAUAAUAAUUUUUAUAUUAACAUAUAAAAAUGAUGUGAAAUUAUAAAAAAUUAAUUUCUUAAAAAAAUAUGUUUAGACAGUAAAAACAAACCGUAAUUUGCAUGUUGAAUGCUUGGAAGUGGACUAAACGCGCUCCAAAAGGUGGGGUUUGCUUUGACCGUGGAAUAAAAGAUGGGAUGGCGUCACAUGGACGGAAGCUGGAAUGCUUUUACAAAAAGAAGACUGAUUGACGGAGUUAAGGAAGUGUCAGCACAAUGAUAAGUUCACUGACAUGGCAUUUUUGCAACCACUGGAUGAAAUCUUGUGGCUCAUCUUAUCCAUAUCGAUCGACAAUCUCAUCCCUAUUUAUUUAUUUAUUUAUUUAUUUCACUAAUUUUCAGAUUUUCCACCACUUUCUUCCCACUUUUAUUUGCCCUUCUCGAUGCUGUUUAUGUCCAUGUUAUUGGAAAAGUCUUCACAUGAAUUUUUAGGAUUGUGGAAAUUUUAAUUUUUUUAAAAAAUAUAUUUUACUUAAAAAAUAUUAAAUUGAUAAUUUUUUAGUGGUUUAUAUUGAUUUUGAUAUGUUAAUAUUUUAAAAAAAAUCUAAAAUAAAAUAUUAUAUAAAUAAAUUUUUAAAUAAAAAAUAUUUUUUAAAAAAACCUAAACCACAGUAUCAAAUACACAACAAUUAAAUAUCUAUAUAGCAUCUCUAUGGCGGGAAGCUUUGCUAUCUUUUUCCUAUUAGAAUUUUUUUUAUUUUUGAUGCAUUAAUUCAAUACAAUAAAUGUAUUUUUAAAAUUAUUGGAGAAAAAGAGUUUAAUCAAUCAAGAUGAAAACAAAAUUUUAAAAAAUAUAUUUAUUAAAUUGAUAUAAAAUUUUAACCGGAAGAUAAUACAAGUUAUUGAUUUGUUAAGUAAAUUAUGAAUUACCAAAUUAAUUUAGAUUAGUUUUUCUUAUGAAAAAAUUCAUUUAAUUCUUUUGAUAUUAACCCUGCAAAGUCAUCUAAAUUAGAUUUUAAAUCAUAAAAUUACGAAAUUGAACCGAACUUAGCCGCUAUAUUGGAAAGUACUGACCUCAAUGACAGUGACAAAAGAACCUCCCUUAAUGACCUCAAUGACAGUGACAAUCAUGGACCAUUCCUCGUCUUUGGGCUGCACUUGACAUAAGUUGGUCUGCGUUAUUAACUUGGUCUGCAUCUUAAUAUUGUUCUCAUUUGUUCCCAUUCAUUGAAGAGGUGAUAGACCUUAAAACACCAUUAAGUUAUUUUAAGGAAGUGGAGAAGCUACCAAGGCAGAAAUUAAGCGAUGAAGUAGCUAAGACAUUGUUGUCCUCUGCUCUUUACUUGUUCAGCAUUGGAAGCAAUGACUACUUUGUACCUUUCAUUACAAACCCCAGUGCGCUUCAAUCCUACAACAGAAACGAGUACAUCAGGAUGGUUAUCGGCAACCUGACAUCUGGUAUCCAAGUGAUAUGUUAAUAACCUAAACAUUCUUUCUGUUUUUCAAAUCGAUCAUAGUCUAUAUAUGGUUUCGCUUUACUGUUCCAGGAAAUAUAUAAGGAGGGAUGAAAUUUCAAUCUUGGCUGCAUUGGGCCGUUUUCCUUCCUGAGAGCACUUAAACGAACUAGAACAAGAAGUUCAGGCUGCAUGGAUGAAGUUGCAGUUCUGACAAAGCUACACAAUAGAGAACUCUAAGGUCCUUAAAAAGCUUGAGAGACAGCUUAAUGGAUUUAAGUAUUCAAAUUUUGAUUUCUAUACUUCACAUAGUGAAAGAAUAAAUCAUCCCACCGAAUAUGGUAUGUUUUUAUCUACAUGUCAAUUCAGAAUUUCCUGCUUGUGUUUGUCAAAUAACAAGUCUAUCCUAACUGUCAAGUUCAGGGUAUGACUUGUUUCUAAUCCUUCUAUACCUAUUUUAGGUUUUAAUUGUUGCAACUUGAAUGUGAAGAUUUUAAGGAGAUAAAAGUGGCAUGUUGUGGCGCUGGUCCGUAUUGAGGUUCCAAGUGUGGCCUGAACAAGUUCGAAUUACGCGAUAAUGCGAGUGAAUAUCUCUUCUUUGAUGGAAUUCAUCCAGCAGAUGAGGUUCAUAAUCAAUUUGCAAAGUUGUUGUGGAGUGGAAAUCCUGAUGUUGGAGGGCCUUACAAUCUCAAAACACUGUUUGAGGAAUAGCAUAAAUGAUAAAACAAGGUGUACUUUUUUCCAGAUGCUGUAUUAGUUAACCCAGAAGCCAAAGAAUACUUGCUUCUCUUUAUUCUAUCUUGACUUGGAAGAAAUGACAUUAGAUGUAAGACCCAGACUUUUGGCUCAAACCCAAGCCCAAGUCAGCCCAAACCCAACCUAAGUUAACCUAGGUAUAUAAGAAAAAGUUGCAAGAGAAUUAUUGUUCUCUCUUCUAAGUCUUGUGGCCACCGUGACCCUCUCCUCAUCAAACCAAGGAUUUCAGUUUUUGAUCUUGAGUUUUGGGUUUAAGAAAAGUGAAAGUAGCAAGUAAGUGAUUCUCUCUCAUGUUACUUUUAAUUAUGAUUUGUUUAUGGAAGGAUUAAAAAAAAAGAGAAAGAGAGAUUGCGGUUUAUAAGGAUUGGAAGUUUAUAUUGUUAAGAUUGAUUUAUGAUUAUUAAAGGUUUAAUGUUAGAUGAUUAAUUAGUAUGUUGUUGAAAAUAAGGAUUUAUGAGUUGAUUUGUUUAAAUUAAUUUUUAUGGGUUAAGAAAUUCAUUUUUCCCUUGCUGUAAAAUCUGGACAGAAUGGUCUAAAGGUUGAAGAUGACCAAAUUUUAUUUUGGUCCUUGAUUUGUGAAAGUUUCAGUUUAGUCCCUGAACUUUGAAAAAAUUACAAUUUGACCCCUAAAUGUAUUUUGAGAUUUUGGACAGUGUUAUUAUGAGGUCAAGGAUGAUGAAUCUCAGUUUGAUAAUUGAUUUGGAAUAUUUUUAGUUUGGUCCCUCAAUUUUAGGAAUUUACAUUUUAGUCCCUGAACUUUUAAAAAAAUUACAGUUUGGUCCCUGUGUCGUUCUGGACAGAAUUGAGGAUGUUUUAUGGGUGAAAUUUCAGUAUGGUUAUGUAUUUAUAGUUUGGUCCAGUUUUGGUAAAAUUACGUUUUGGUCCCUGUUUUGGAUAAUUGUUGUUUUAGUCCCUAAACCUAGGAGACUAAACCUAGUUUUCUUUUAUGCAUUGAAAUCUUUUAUUUGUGUUGUUUUGAGUUGCUUUUGAGUAUAUUUCAUAUAUUUAUUGUAGGUUCCCCUAACUAUCCUUAAUAGGUUUUUCGGGUCUUUCAUCUGAUAUUCAUUUUAAUCUAUAUUUUUCCGGUUGAGUGGGAUAAUCUUUAAUAUGCAUAUAUUAUAAAUAAAUAUGUAUGUUGAUUAUACAAUGAGUUCCGAGUACUCAUUUAUUCUUGAAUUUGCACUCGCAAUCUGUCAAACUAAAUUCUAUUUGAUAUGAUAUACGUUUCUUUGAUGAUUCUGUGAAUAUCUAUUAUGCCUUGAUAUAGGACUUGUCAGUAACUCCAUGCUAACAGAGAGUAGUUAGCCUAUGUGCACAUAGUAUUCUGUAUACCUAGCUGAUGAGAGAGGCAUCAGCCUGUGGCGACUGAUCAUCCCACAGUGGUCACCUUCGGGUGUCAUCUGGUCACCUUCGGGUGUCAUCUAAUCUCUGACAUGUAUUCCACUACGUUAUGAUAAUAUGUUUAGUAUGUAUAUGUAUAUGUAUAUCAAGAUAAAUUAUCUUGCAAACUAUUAAUAUUAUAAAUAUCUAAAAUGUAUUUUAAAUAUUAUUCCCUCACUGAGUUGGUUGAACUCACCCCUCAUUCUUAAUAUUAUUUCAGGUUCUUAGUUUCUGAUAACAGUUGGACUUUGUUGAGUGUUCCUGCUUCUUCAGUUUUGGUCGGUAUGCCUUGCUUGUUUUGCGAGGCUUUCCUUUUAGUUUUGAUUCGAUGUUUUAGACGCUCCACUAUUACCUUGUUUUAAUUAAGUUUGGAUUUUGACAAUGUAAUGAGUAUUAUGAAUUAUUGUUUUUGUUUUAAUUACUAAUGAGGAGUUUUAAACUAUCUUUUGGUUUCAUCAGUUUUGAAUAAUAUAAUAUUUCUGAAGAUUAUGAAAUGCUGCGUAUUUUUGAAUAAAUUAUUCUUUUGAUAUGUCUGUUUUGAGGCUUAGCGUAGGUGGGGUGUCCUUUCAACACCGCUCCUGCGUUGCUGGUCAUGGACCCGGGAUUCGGGUGGUGACAUUAGAGGUGAGAGCAGAGUUCUGUUCUUGAGUAGAACACUCACAGUAAUCAGAAAGAUCAUAUCUUGGUUUAGUAAUGCACUAGUUUACGAUGUAUCUGAUCAGCUCCUCAAAAUUCUAGAACCCUCUAAAAUCUAAAUCUGCUCCUUCUGAAAAGAUUCUGGGAGUGGCACAAACUUGAUAAUUUUCAACUUUAAAUUCCUGCUCAGAAUGAUAAGGAAAUACUUGACAUCUUAAAGCUUUCUGAAAGAAGAGAUGCUUAAAAUUCUGUUGGAUGUGUGGAAACAAUUGCUGGACCAUAAUGCCAUCAACACGGGUAUUUCUUCACGUACAAAAUUGCACUUAUCGAUUAUGACCUCUUUGAGAGCUCACAAGACCAAUACCCUACCGGCAAGAAACUAAACAAUUGUAGUCCUUUAAGGUUUGGUUCAACUUCACAAGUUAGAAAUUAAUGAAUAGGUUCUUUACAACCUCACGCAGAGAAGCCACCGGCACUAGACUCUCUACGGCCACAUUAUAGUAACAAAGGACGAAAGCCAACGACACCUAGAUUUAUCAGCAAAUAUGAGCAACAAAGUAUGAUCUACCUGUGUGUCUCAUUCCACUGCAGAAAGUGCUGCAGUCAGCUACAGACUGAUUAAAGACAUCAAAGGUAGCUGUAGAAGCUCUCUUGUAAUGAAGCAGCAGAUUGUUAAGCCUUAAUUCUGAAGCAGCAUUACAAAAGUUAAAUCAAACAAUAUGUUCAAGAACUAGUGAUAUAGAAGUCUUAGUUCAAGGACUACUAGCAUUUUGACCCAUAGUUCAAGACAGUUAUGUACCUUUUAGCCUUUAAUUUAUCAGCCUCGUUACAUUGUUGGUGUGGCCUUUCGUUUGUAUUUUUCUCAUGUUCUGUUGGUAUGCUCGACUGGAAAUGAAGCUGAACUUCUUCAUAUUCUUAGGCUUUGGAAAUCAGCCUCAACCUGUCCUCUUUUGAGUUUUGUUUUGGCUUUAGAUUUUGUCAGGCAUUGGUCUACUAAGCAAUGUUGUUGUCAUAAAAUGGUGAUUUGAAGUUUUUUGUAGGCUAGUCUUGAUACGGCUACCUCUUGUAGUCUCAGGCCACUUAGAAGAUCUAUUGUAAUUUUCUCUUUAGUGUCAAUAUUAUCAGUGAUCCAAGAAAAAAGGGACAUGUCAAUAUUAUCAAUUUAUCAAGGUUGGACAUUGGCAGCUUGGACUAAUCAUUGAUAUCCAUGUUAAGGAAAAGCACAGACGACCAAAGCAAUGGGAAGUGAUAGAAAUAUAUUGAAAACUUGAAUAAACAGAAAACAAAAACACCAAUGCUGAGUAGCCAUGGUGGGAUUUAUAUGCAUACAUAUAUUAAUGGAAAGUAGUGAACACAUGUUGAUAUAUAACAUGCAUAUAGGGUUAAGGUCCCUGCAGCUUCACUGAGAAUCCAUUCAUUUCCAGGAUGAAUGAAGCAAAUUUCAUUAAUCAAAGAACCGAGUAGAAGAAAACUGAUCCCAAUAGCAGCAAUUUAUCAAGACUUUUUAGAAUUUUGGAGUAAAUUUGUAUUUUUUCAGCAAUUUAUCUUAGAUACGAGGCAGCUGUUAAAUUCCAAUUCUAUUGCCUUUCAAUCAAUUAUAUACAAACUGAUGCUUUAAGUCAAUGAUUUCAUACACAGUAGCAGAUUAAAAACACACACUGUACGUUCAUGUCCAUCUUCAAAAUCCUACUAAGAAUAGGUUACCGAGCCUCAACAACUUUUGGGUGCUUCAGAACAUCAAAGCAUCACAGUUUUGGUAAUUCCGACUAAAUUCUACCACAACUAAUGAUACCCUAAACUCUCUACCUCUUAACUUGAGAUGCUCAGGAAUUAAUCUCCACAUAUGGAGCACUAUACAGUUCAAUGGCUCAACAUACUUUAAAUUCAUCUUCUUUACCAAUCAUUCUUGAAUAUGCAGGUUACCUCGUGAAAGAGGUCUGCCGCAUCCAUGCAUCCACCUCUCUAGAUCCAUUAGGUAAUGCAGAAGAAAGACAUUUAAGGACAUUAGUGCUUACCUAAGCAUGUCUCCAGGCUGUAAUUUUGGUCCACUCAAUACUGGUGAGAUGCUGAAACUAUUGCCAUCAGCAUGGAACGAAGGGUGCCCAAGAGGCACUGGUCGAUCU
RNAcentral lists this long non-coding RNA (79891 nucleotides) under Populus trichocarpa (black cottonwood). Its description in RNAcentral is "long non-coding RNA (PTRI_LNC003902)". The record is from RNAcentral. Lineage: Eukaryota; Viridiplantae; Streptophyta; Magnoliopsida; Malpighiales; Salicaceae.